RNAcentral lists this long non-coding RNA (59668 nucleotides) under Malus domestica (apple). Its description in RNAcentral is "long non-coding RNA (MDOM_LNC002158)". Lineage: Eukaryota; Viridiplantae; Streptophyta; Magnoliopsida; Rosales; Rosaceae. The record is from RNAcentral.
UAAAAUCAGCAGUCGACUCAAGCACAGAAGUUAUCUACAGUGAGAAUCCUGAUGGUAAUUUUGUGAAGUCCAACAACUUUUCAUAUGCCAUUGUUGUGGUUGGCGAGCAUCCUUAUGCUGAGACUGCGGGAGACAGCCCAAACCUAAUGAUGGCGGAACCUGGCCCAAGUGUCAUCAGCAAUGUGUGUGAAAGUGUCAAGUGCAUUGUUGUCUUAAUAACUGGCAGACCUAUUGUAAUUGAACCAUAUAUUUCCUCGAUUGAUGCUCUGGUGGCAGCAUGGUUGCCAGGCUCUGAAGGCCAAGGCAUUACUGAUGUCCUUUUUGGGGAUCGUGGAUUCAGUGGAAAGCUUCCAAGAACAUGGUUCAGAACUGUCGAUCAACUCCCAAUGAAUGUUGGUGAUUCACACUAUGAUCCACUUUUCCCGUUUGGGUUUGGACUGGAAACUGAGUCAGUAAAGGAGCUUGUAACAAGGUAACUCUUCAUACAUGUAUAUCUCUAUAUAGGACCAGCUUUGUAGCAGGUAUCCCGUUUUACUGGACGCUUGUUCAUAUAAUAAAACUUGAUGGGAAAGAGAAAGAAAUGAAAUUUACAAGGGAGUUGGGACCGGUGGUGGCUUCUAAGUUUCAAUCUAUCAUUACUACAUAUUGUUUUAAAGCAUUCAUAUGUUGUGGUGUAAUAUAAAACGAAGAACUUGGUUACUUGUAUCGAUACUGAUUACAGCUUCGUGAUGCCUGCAGGUCGACCUCAGCUGGUGUUGUUGCAAGGCCAUGCAUACUUAUCGUCCUGGUUGCUCUGAUUCUUAGCUUUAUAGUUUAGAGGUAUAGUUUUGGGUGUAGGAUUAUUGGGUUCUCGGCUUUUCCUAAUCGCGUAGGUUUCAGCUUACGCAUUGCCUUUUUCCUCUAAAAAUUUCAGGAAGCUUUUACUAAUGGUAGAUUCGUACAGCAACUGGAUUUGUUGACUGACACAGUUUAUGGCAGAAGGAAGGGAAAAGCUUUGAGUUGAUUAGAUUAUGACUGCCACACAUUCUGGUUAACAAACAAAUUAUAAGCAUUCAUUGUCGAGCCAUUUUAACGAUUACAAUUUACAUGCAGCAAAUUUGGAUAAUAAAUUAAGUUGAUUUUUGUUUUGAAAUUCUUGAGUGAAAAAAAAAAAUUGUUAGGAGGGUCAUCAUCAAUGGGCCCUUCUAUUGGUCUAUUAUUUUUUUUUAAGCAAUCUUUUGCAAUUUUGCUUCAAUACUUCGUAGUAAAUGAUACGGAAAAUGUAUGUAUGAGAUAGUAAGAAUUUUUAUCACAAUUGGUCAUUGAAAGUGACGUUCGUUAAUUUAGUCUUUGAAGUUGAAAAUUAAUCAACAUCAUCCCUAAAAUUUACUAGAAACAUCAAGGAGCUGACCAUCACAACUUUUUUUUGGGCCCCAUGAACCGGAACAAGAGGACGCAAGCUCUGAGAGAAUACAAGAAGAAACUGUCACAAACUUCACAUGCAUCACAUGCUUCUCAUACUCACGUGUCUUGCACGAAUAUAUCUAAGACAAAGUCAGCUACUAUGACAGCUGGCACAAUCCUAGCUUAUGACCUAGUUUAAUCUCAGCCUUCCAUUUCCAAUUCAAACAAAUAAGAACAAGACUAAGUACAGAACUUGAACUCUUAAGAAAUCAGCUUCAAGGCUUAAUCACUAAAAAUACAUACUUGAUCGAAGAGAAAGAAAAAACAUCUUUACAAUACAUACGGAUAAGUAAAUACUGACCACGUACCAACCGCAGGUGAACCAAGAACUACGCGAAAAACAAAAAUCUAAAUAGAAGAGCUCAGACACUGAUCCAAAUAUAUCCCGAAGUUCUGAAAAAAAUUGCGGUUUUCAGAUCCAUGAUUGCUGUCUUGAUGUAUACUAGUUCCCUCUCGCGUGCUCUCUAAGAGCAUCCCCAGUGAGGGGCUCUAUAUAGAGCUGUAAAAGUGGUGGAUAGAGCCCAUUUUAAAGCUCCGAGGAAUCUUGGAGGCUUUAUAAAAGAAUCUCUCCCAAUGAGGGGCUAUAUCUUUCGGGCUCUAUAUGGGGCUAUAUUUAUUUAUUUAUGUAGUAAUUUAAUUAAGCGAUGAUUUUUUUUUGUGUGUUAGCUUUUCUUAAGUUGAUUUUUGGACAUGUUAUCUUAAAUUUUUUAUUUUUUAUGAACCCUUCAAUCUAAAAAGUUCAAAUUGUGACAAAGUUAAAUUUCAUCACUUAUGAAUCGUUCGUUGGAUUAGAUUCUCUUAUCUUAAACUCAUCCGUUGAAAGAAACAAAUCCCCAUUUUGCCAUCUAAAAUAAUUUGAUUUUCACGUAUAACAUAACAAUUUACCUAGCACCAAUUGGUAAAUUAGUAUCAUACAAUUUAGAAAAAAAAAUUAUUUGAAAAUUUCACCCAUCAAUGCCCAUAAACAUUAAAUCAAUUUGAAAAUUUAAUCCUUAUGAAAUUUAAAACAAUCAUUAAUUAGCCAAAUUGCAAGAAACAUAAGAAAGAAAAAUAAUUAAAAAAAUAAUUAAAGGAGAGUAUAACUGUAUUCGCAAGUGGAGGGAAAGUGAUAGAAUUUAGCUUACAUGAGUUGCUACUUUUUUUGUGGGAUCCACUAUUUAUGCUACCCAAGAAAGGAACUUGCUAACCCCAAUGACAGAUCUAGCUCCAUUUUUCAGCUCAUUGGGGAUGAAAUUUCUUGCUAAGGCUUGAAACAUGGUAACCUCAUGGAUGAUAAAGCCCCAUUGGAGACGCCCUAACUCAAGGAACUAAAAACGUCGCUGCCUCAUCGCUUCCAUACGUCGACGUAGGCUCAUUGCUUCCAAAUGUCGCUGCCUCGUCUCUUCCAAACGUCGACCUCGCUGCCUCAUCUCUUUCCGCUGCCUCAUCUCUUCCAAAUGUCGCUGCCUCAUCUCUUCCUGCUGCCUCAUCUCUUCCAAAUGUCGCUGCCUCAUCUCUUCCACAUAGCUUGACUCCUCAGGAACAGUCAAAAUUUCAGCAUCAACGAAGGUGUUGAUUGAAUUCUGAACUAGAGCUUUGUAGAGAUGGCCGAUGAAGGUCCUGCUAGUGUCUUCGCCUCAAAAAUUCAAGAAGACAUCAUAUUUCCAAUCAGGAACAGAUGAAGAAGAAGAAGCCAUCAACAAGCACAAGAUCGACAGCGUAAUGUGAGUCUCGUGUAGCCCCUUAACAAACUCAAGACUGCAGGUCAACGACCCCCUUCAUUGGUUCUCACUAGAAAAAUGGGAUGCAUCUUCAAUGGGGGAGCUUUGAAGUUGCCGGAAAGAAUGGUCGUUUGGCUAAAGUCCAAUAACAAAUACAAAUGAAAGAAAGUAACAUUCAUAUUUUAUUAAGCCUUUUUAUUUAAAAUAGUCUGAUUGUCAUAACUCUUCACUUUGGUUCAUGAGAUUUAAAAUCGACAAAAGUGGUCUUUGAGAUUGUCCACCGUCAAUUAUUUUUAUCAUUAUGUGAAAAAACUUGGUUAAAAUUAAGGGCAUUUUUGUCAAAUGAACCCCUCCCUUAACUGAUGGUUUCUUCAAUUUGAUGGAGAUUUUUCACAAAUUAUGAUGCAUAUUGGGGUAGUCCAAAGCUCCUUUAUGUGUGUAGCUUCUGCUUAUGUCAUGAUCUUUCCACUUCUACCAAUUAUCGUUUCAAAUGAUUUUGUUUUUACUAUUUAUUUUAUUGUCACGCCCCGAUCUCGAUCUACAUCCAGGAUUGCCACUGACGUCACCAAGUAACCAUAUACUCAACAGAUCCCGCCCCCGGGAUAAGUACGAAGCAUAACUCAAGAAUCGAAUCGCAUAAUAAUUUUUCGUAUACUUUAUGGCUGCAUCUAACCUCCUCGUUAGACUGCCUACGUACCCUCAAUAGGGAUCAAGCCAUUCGUAGUUCACCAUUCGUCAAACUCUAAUCUUUUUGUAAAAUACUUCUAGCAGAAAUCAUAAAGUACCACGACACAUCAGCCACACUGUCACGCCCCAGACUUGGGGUCAGUGAAAAAAAUAACCCCGCACCCGUUGCGCGAGUAAAAGUAAAAUAAAUAAAUAAAAGAAAAUUGACACGGGUUGGAAAAAUAAACUCCUCUUAUUAAAAUAACUCCAAAAUCCUUACAAGAUGUACAAAAAUAUAAUAAAUUAAAAUCCUUAAACUUCUCAAUCACAACCUCAGCUCUUCUAACACAUGUCUUGCCAAAUGACAUCUGUAAAAUAAUAAGUGAGGGGUGAGCAACAACCACAGUCGCUCAGUGAGUAGAAUAAGUAAUAUGUCAGUCAAGCAAUGCCUUUUUACACACACACACUAGAAAAUAGGAUAAUAAUAUCAAAGCUUUAACCACGUAAUUUCAUAUCACAUCAUCCCUUUACGUGUUCAUUACAUCCUUCAUAAAUUGUAACUCACCACGUGAUCCCUACUGGCCUUUCCGCCCUAAUGUCCUCAUGUGCAGUUUACAUUUAUCCCUCGGAUUAAGGCAACACUAAAGUUCUCAUGCUCCAUGAACAUAUCCAAACAAUCCACAUAUUACCAUAUUAAUGAUUCCAAAGGUAUUUCAACAAAUCCAACAUGCUUGACUUAAAAUAGAUAGAGAUUAUAAAUAGAUAAAACUCAUGAUAGUUCAUGGUUUUCAUUUAUCAGAAAAUAAGAAUAUUUUGAAACACAUUACAUAAACCACUCAUCUCGAAAAUCCAAGAUUUGGCAAAACAACCCAACUAACAUCUCCGCACACCUCAAACUAGCUUUCCCUUUUUCUUUUCUUUCUAAGCUCUCACUCUAACGUAUAUAUGAAUAUAUACGCACAACACACACACACACACACACAUAUAUAUAUAUACACACACACUUAAUGCAUGCUCUACAUGUUUCCUUCUUUUUAUGCUCCAAAAACAAUGGAGCAAAGCUCCUAUUUAUAGUGAAAUAGAACGGCUCCAAGACUUGAGGUCCAAGGAAUAUAUACAAUAAAAUAUAUGAAGUCCCUAUUUAUAGUACCGAACGGCUCCAAAACUUUGUGACUCAUAAAGGCACGUGUCAAUUGGCAUGGAAUCAUAACAUGAGGAGAUGACACCUAACUAGGUGAUUAAGCUAAUGAUUAAAUGGUGGCAAUAAGAUGUGUCAACUGGAUGCAAGACUUGAAUUGUGGAGCUACACGUCCAACCCAGCAUGGUGCUCACAAGCACCUUAAAAAGGAUAGGAGAUAAGGCCGCAUGGUAAGCUUCACACGUCCACCUUAUAAACUUAUGACUAAGCAUAAGCAUGGUUCUAGGGCUUAACUAAGAAAAAUAUUCCAAAACUUAACUUCAAGUCUAAUAAAAUAAAUAAUAACUUAAACAUAGGGCUUUCACCAAUAUAAAAUAUGGGUUCUCACACAUACACCGAACAAUAAUUAUCACCUUUUCAUGCACGCAGGUAUGCCAAUCCCACGCAUAUGCUUUCCAAUUCAUCCAUCAUAUAAAUCACUAUGAUUCACAUAAUACCGCAAUUCAUAGUAUGCUACAUCUCGAAGAACAGUCAAUGAAGCACAAUGUUAUUCUAUAGUCACAUAAAUCAACGAGUCUAUCAUAAUAAUAACAAUCAUAUCCAAUGUUGUUCCACAACCACUCCAAUUAAUCCAUCCCAUGAAUCACAGAUGCACAAUAUUAACAUUUAACUAUGUUAAUCAAUCAUCAAGAUCACAUAUCAAUUCACAAAAUUUAAUAAAGGAUUUCAACAUAAUUCCUUGCAUGGAUUCCAAGUAAUACAAGGUAAAUCCAAUUUAUAAACACAAUGUCUAUUGUGAGCAAUUUCCUACUCACUCGAAUCUAGGGUCGAACUAACCUUAUGGAAAUGAGCAAGAGUAGGGAUUUCGGACCACUCAACGGAAUCCAGCCCAAAAUAUAAUUGCCAAUCGGAAUGUACCAAGUAUAAUCCUCCUCACUUCUAGAAUGCAUAUGGUCUCCCAACGCGGAUAUACCAAGCAGGACCAUCCAUGUACCACUGCUACAUGGUGCAGUUAGAUCAACAUACAAACCACUUACCCUUAUCUCAUACGCUAUGAUUUACAUCGUAAUCACCUGCAUUAUCAACUUCUCAUGACCACUAACUAUCUUAUCAUACAAGCAUAAAAGUUCUACAUAAUACUUCUCAUAAGAUUCUGAGUUCAUAUCAUCAUAACAUUUAUCAUACUUAUCAUUCACAUUAUUAAGAAGAUAAAUAAGCACAUAUAUAUCACAAUAUGACGUUCCAUACACGUAAACCGAUGUAUAUAUUAUCUGGGAUAACUCACUAACCAAUAUAGGCCCACUAAGCCCUACAUAGACUCUAGUAAUACUGAAUUUAAUAGUUUAGAUCAAUUCAUAGCAUAUUGACCAAAAGUAAGCAGUAAUUAGAUUAAUACAUAUAAGGUUUCCCAAAACCCCUACCUGGAAUUCGAUUAAUUUUGUUCCUUUGAAGAACCUAAUAGGAACAUAAAAUUACCAUCAAAAGUAUAAAUACGAGUAACACACCUUAAUAACCAAACUAAGUGUUUAAACACAAAAUUAAUAUUAUCUAAAGAAAGUACACUGAUUCUGGAAUCUACCACUCAAAUAGUAGUAAAGAAGAUUAGAAAGGAAUCUGGAAAAGAAAAGAGGUGUGGCAAAAACAGUUACUCUGCUUCUCCACAAAAUCUGCAGAAAACAGCACAAUUGGACCAAGUUUAGACUCCCUUUGGAACAUUCAAAACUAAACCAAAUCGUGUAAUAUUAUAUGGGUUUUGAAGCUUGUGUUUUGUACUUUAAAAGCAUACAAAGUUUGUAGAAAACGGAACUCUAAAUUGGAAGUUAUGCCAAAAAGAAAAAUGAAGUCUUGAAACUGGAAACCCAAUUUUCUACUACUGUUUGGCAGCUUGCGACCCAAGUUUAAAUGAGGUUUUGAUCAACCAAAACUCAAUGGAACUGAGUGAAAACAAUUGGGUUACGAUCAUGAACAAAUGUACUUUCAACACACUAAAAUAUUUCUUCAAAGGAGCACAUAAAGACCUAGAAAUUAAAAGUCGAAGAAGACUACUUGAAACUUGAGUUUUCUUUGCCAAGAAAUCAAUUUUCUGCAACUUACGUAACAGCCUAUCUCCAAUUCAUAUAACAAAUCCCAAAAUAAUUCCAGGUAGUCCAGAAGUCUUGUAUACAACAUCCAAAACUAACAUGACUCAAAAUUAACAAGAAAUUGACCUUUUGAACCAAACCCUUGAUCAAGAAAUUUGAUCUACACACCCAAUCCGAAUUACCCAACUCUAAUUUACUCUUCAAAUCUCUGAAUUCUUCCUUCACAAUCACGUUCUCCAACUCCUCUCUCUUUGAUUUUUGUCUGAAGAAAGAAGGAUUCUUCCAAAAGCUAUGGAAGAGCCACCUCCUCCCCGUUUCUUUUUCUUCCCUCGCAAAGCUAGGAAGAACGUGAAAGAACGUUCUCCCCCCCCCUUUUUUUCUCUUCCGCCCCUCUCUUUUCCUUCCUUUCCCUGCUGCCCUCUAGUCCCUUCCCUUUUGUCUGAUUGGUCCACACUAAAUCUUACAUGAUUGGGCCUCUUUCCCACAAAGUGGGAAUUUAUUUAAUUAAAAACUAUAGUUUAGUAAAUGAUUUCAAAUGUCCAUAACUAUACCGUUAUAAUCCGGACCCGCAAACAAUUUUCGCCUAUGCGUUCGUGAUCUCGGAAUCUAUUCAACAAUAUAAAUUGUGACCUCGAAAGGUCCACGUGUCACAUUCCGUCCCGAAAUUUUAUUUAUCGUUGAUGUGAAAUGACAAAAUUGUCCCUAAAGAUUUCUAAGGUGUGUGUGACUUAUACAUUCGAUUGAUAUUGUCCUUCCUAAGUUUGUGGAAAAUUUAAUUUGGAACUUAGGUUAUGUUUUCAAUUGUGUGGUCAGGGUUUAAUGUGGACCACUCACACAACCUUUCCUCUCUCUCUCUCUCUCUUCCCUCUCAGUUCUCUCUCUCUUUCGAAUGGUACGGACAAAGGACCAAGUCCCUCAAUUUUUCACAGAUCGAAGGUUCUAAGGUAAAAAUCGAACUCAUCUUGGGCCCCUGAGUUUAAAUAUACUAUUUUUGGAACUGGAAACCUUCGAAAUCACGUAGAAACCCUAACCCCGAAAAUGUGCACUGUUCAUGCACACGUAAAAUUAGGGGUGGUUCGGUAUGGGAUCCCAUACCGAAACCCUUGUCCCGAUUCCCAAACCAAAAAUUUCGGGAAUCCCAAUUUCAAUACCGAUCCCAAACCAAAUUUUCGGGAAUCCCGAAAUAGUUUCGGGAUUUCGGGACAAAUCGGGAAUCCCGAAAUGAUUUUGGGCUUUUGGGCUUUUGGACUAAAAUAUUAUGUUUUUGGGCUAAAAUUGAACCUUUUAACACUUUUGGGUUGCAAUAUGCUAAGAAGCCCGUUGCAAUAUGUGCCAAUUGCAAGUUAUGUCAAUUUAAAUGUAGAUGCUACAAUUGCAAGACUUUGCCAAUCUGGAUUCAAAUGUAGAUGCUACAAUUGCAAGACUCUGUCGAUUUAAAUCAUUCAUACAGAAAUAUGUGCAACUAUUGAAGCCUUCAUUUUCUAUGGACUCUAUUGAUCUAAAUAUAUAUUUAAAAAUUAAAUAAUAUAUAUUUUUUUUUCGGUUCGGUUUGGGAAUACCGAAAUCCCAAAAACUUGAGACCGAUUCCCGUACCGAAAUUUCAGGAUCGGUUCGGUAUUGGGUACCGAAAUUUUCGGGAAUUUCGGUUUGGUUUCGGGAAUUUUUCGGUUUGGUUUGGGAUUUUUGGGAUUUUUUUCCAGCCCUACGUAAAAUAUUGCAUUUCAGGGAAUUUCAAGCUCAUAGUGAGCUUAAGGAGGUUCUCACAAGCUUGGGGGUACUUCGUUGGUGGAAAUUGGACGUUAGAGGACUGAGAACGAAGCUUUUCAAAUUUGGCCGGAUUAUCGAGUUUCCUCAGGUAAAAUCUAGGGGAUUUUAGACCUUGAAACUUGUGUAUCAUGAUUCUACAUGUUUAGGGCUUCAUUUUGGUAUAAAUUGCGUGAAAAUUGGUUGAGAAACGAAGGAGAACAAGAAGUUUAAAAUUUUGCCCAGUUUUCGGCACCGGUGAUGAUCGCCGGAGUUGGAGGAAGGAGACGAGAGAAUAUUCCGUCAAGUCUGACAGAAUAUUCUCACGCCGUUAGUCAGUUUUAAUGGAAUCCGUUAGGAUUUAACGGAAUAUUCCGAAGAAUAUUCCUAAUGGCGUCACAGUCUCAGCCCUGUGUGCCAGGCACGUGCCGCGCGUGGGUGGCACGUCUGGCCGUGCCUUGGCCGGCACGUGAGGGCGCGUGGGAAGUCCAAAAUUAAUUCUAAAAAUAUGGGGAUGUUCGUGGAGUUGUGUAGAUCACUGUGGUAUAUUCAGAUACCCAAAUUAAACAUCGUAUGAGAAGUUAUUUCGAAUUGUUGGUUAUGUGCUUUAAAAUAACGUUUUUAUAGUUGUUUCGCAUAUAGGUGAGACCUAUCCCGAGGACGAGCGCAUUCAAGGGCGUCACGGGGGUUACGACCCGUCGACAUAUCAGUGAGUGGGCAGUUAUUUUCUGUAUUUACCUAUAUACUAUUGAUUUUCCCAGAAAUUGAAUAUAAAUGAAAGUAUGUUUUAAAUGCCAUGCAUGCAUAUUAUGAAAUAUUUGAGUUAGUAAUUGAUGCAUAUAUAUAUGUGAAAUUGUGUUGUGGACGCACAUGUGAGUUUUAUGUUAUUCAUGUGAAUUAUUGAUGAUGUGAAUUGUCUUGAGAGCUCAUAACAUGCACCCCUGGUGUUAGUGCUUAUAUUAUUCACCCCGCACCACACGCUCACCUUGGAUCCAAGUAGGUGCAUGUCGUACAGAUCACAGUGGUGAUUCCGACAUGUCGUACAGACCAUUAGAGGUGGUUCCGACCUGUAGGUGACUUUAGAUUGUUAUACAGCUGUUGAUGAGAGAAGCACUAGAGCGUAUUCUUACACCAUUCUUGUCGUACAAACUACUUCAGGUAGUUUCGACUUAUGUGCAGAGUAGUACCGUACAGGUCACAAUUAGUGAUUUCGGCUGGAUUGGAUAUUGAGCUAUCGAAUUAACCGUACAGGACAAACUGCAGGGUCUCCGAUUGAUUCCUUAUUUCACCUGUUAUAUUGUUGCAUCUUUAUGUUGUUGUGAAGCAUAGCAUGGCAUAUACAUAGUGGCAUGUUGAUAGCAUAACUUGAGAUAUGUUUUAAAAUGAAUAUAUAUGUUUAUAUAUGCUAUUUUUCUGGGAAUGUAUACAGGUUUUACAGCGAGGGGUUAGAAAUGUUAUUAAAUGAAAUGUUUUCGAAAAACUUUGUUUUACUGACCCACUCAAUCUUGUUUUGCGCCCCUCCAGGUUCUAGUUAGCAGCGUUGGUGGUUCACAAGGAUUCCCACGACAUUCUGACAGACUACUCAAAUGUAGGACUCAUCUGCGGGUGUUGUAAUUUAGUAAUGGUCCUACUUGACUGCACCUAGUACUUAUGUUCUGAAUAUGCGUGUUUCACACUUAAACUCACUCUAGCAUGUUAGUUGGAUUAUUAUGGCUAGUACUUGGUUUUUAUUCCUUCGUAUAUCUUUUAUCCUUUAUGCUUCUGCGUCGCACUUAUGGUUACGUCACACUCACGUGACGGCCAGCACGCCCUGAUUCUAGGUUCGGGGUGUGUCAGUUUGGUAUCAGAGCCUAGGUUGCAGUCCUGUAUAAAUUGUGAAUGCUCUAAUGAUCUUUUGAUGUUUUCUGUCAGAACUAUGCUGCCUCGUAGGGAACCACGUCGUGCUUCUGAGCCUAAUUUCCCUGACAUAACUCAAUUAGGAGAAGCGAUGGCCUAUGCCUUUCAGAAUGCAAUUCGUCUUCCUCAGAGAACGCCCUGGAGACUAUGUAUAAUAUGAAGUUAGACCGAUUCAUGGGUAAUGGGUCAUGAAGGGGCAGAAAAGUGGUUAGACCAUAUAUUGAGAAGACUUUUCAGGUGAUGCAGAGUCAAGGAAAUCUUUCUUCUAAUAGAUGGGUCAAGACCACUACUUGGUUUUUAGGACGAGAGCCUGUAGCUUGGUGGGUAAAUCAAACUCAGUUUAUAUCACCUGAAGCGGCAACAGAUUGGGAAGUAUUCAAAGAGAAUUUUAAGAAAAUAUUUGUUCCCCCAGAGUACAUUGAUCGUAAGAAGCAGGAGUUCACUUAAUUGAAGCAAAAGAAUAUGUCGGCGCAUGAGUAUUAUCGGAAGUUUACGGACUUAUCCCGCUAUGAUCCUGAUACAGCUGGUAACCAGGUAGAGAUGCUUCGCCGUUUUAAGCUGGGAACUAAGAAGAAAUGGCGGACUUUUGCUAGUGCAAUUGCUUGCACCAAUUACCAUGAGUUUUCUGAGAUUCUGAUUCGGAUGGAGGAUUCCGAAAACCUUCCUAGUAACAGUGAUGAAGAUGAAGAUAAGAAGGAUAAGCAGAAGACAGAUGACAGAGGUAAAGGUAUCUCCACUCAGGGACCCCGUAAGACUCAGAGUUUCAAGAAAAGUGGAGUGAGCUCGAGUUCUUCCAGUGGAGGAUUUAGUGUCACAGACCCGAGGAGGGGUGGAAGAUUUACUGGUGGACCCAGGUUUCAGAGACAGAGAGACUUUGGUGGUACCAGUGGUUCAGGUGCUCCGUUGUGCCGCCGUUGUAAUUUCAGACAUCAUGGAGAGUGUAGGAGAAGUGGCGGUGGUUGCUUCACUUGUGGAUAGUUUGGACAUAGAGCUUCACAGUGUCCCUAGAGUCAGCAGAGGCCUCAGCAGUCUACUAUGCCACCUCCAGCGCCGAUUCAGCAGAACUUUGGACCAGGUAGUUAUGGUCAGACGGGUCGUGGUGGUGCUUACCAUUAUCAGGGUGAUGCUGCUCCCUAUGCUUCUAGGCAGUAUCAGUAUUCCCAGGAUUCUUAUUCUCAGAUUGGGUAAUCCCAAGAUCCUGGAGGUUAUACUUCAUAUCCUACUAUUCCCAAGAUCCUUAUUCUCAGACUGGGUAUUUCCAAAAUGAUGGGGGGGGUGCCUAUUUGUGACCAAAACUAGACCCGGCAGUUUUUGACACGACACGAAAAUAAUGGGUUUCAGGUCAACAUGAUAACUUAUCGGGUGACGGGUUCUUAACGGGUAUACGUGCAGGUAACACGUCGGUAACCCGUUUCGACCCGUUAAGAAAAAAAUUAUUUUGAUAAUUUUAAAGUUUAAUUACUAAAAGAUUUAUUAUAAAAUACAAUAGCCAUAUUAAUAAAUACAAUAUAUUCUAAGGAAAACUAAUGAAAAGAACUUGAAAACUUUGAGUUUUAAAGAUAAGGACAAAAUAAAAGGUAAAAUGAAUAGUACCAGAAUUGACUUUUUAGUGUAAAAAUGUGAUUUUUCGUUAAAAUAAACAGUACUGGGAGCUUUUUCAUUCGCAAUACGAGAGCAAACUACAUGUUAGGAAUAAUACAGUCAGCCCCGCAUAGGGAGGGUUUUGCCAUACAAAUAUUGAAACCCGGUACAACAGACAAAACUCAUUAGAGCCGACAGCAAAUUAGCAAUAGGAUCUGCUUCACAUUAAACACUAGUGUCGCAGCAACACUCAACAAAGAUGCACCUCAAAAGGGAAAUGGCAAUUCCGCUCAAUUUUCCCCCACCGCCCCGUUGGAGGGCCAAAGUACUUGCUCGUCAUCAAGGACGCCAUGAAUUUGCUGAUCCACUAGUGAAAUAUCGGCCACUCCUCUUUAUAUAUCGAUACAAACUCAGAACUUUAUUUCUCCACCAGCUAAAGGAAAGAUCCACACACCAGAUCCAAAAUAGAUCUUCUGCCUUCGCCCAAAGCAAAAAAGAACGCUUGCAUUGGAUGUCUUGGAAGAAAGAUCCAGCUAUAAAACUGGAGAGCAGUCCUGAACAAGCCAGGGGAUGAUCAAAACCCUGCAAAAACGCAAGGACAAACAAUUCUCCACAUGGAUCGAAGGGGCAAGGCCGAGUUUAUUUUUCCAAAUUGAUUCUAGAGGAAACAUGGAGAAAACCCCCUGAAAUCAGAAUAGGAAGGUGGCUGUUUGGUGUUCUACGGUGGUUGGUUUUUAUCCUAAAUAGUUUAGAGUUAUCUUUCUAACGUCUCUCCGAAAAACUGAGAGUUAAGUGGAUAAAACUCCAAACUAGCGGGUUGGUCUUAGAAGAGCCUACACACAGACACAGAGUCAUGGAAUACUUACAAAUUCACUGCGACACUGAAUGUCAAUCUGUAAAUGCUUACGCAGCAAAAAAACAUGAUCGGAUUCGGAUUCAUCAUAUUGGAGAGAUAAUUAUGGGAGUCAACAAAAUAUUGGGAGACAGCUUCUACAUUCUAGGGGUUGCAAACAAACUUCAGUUGCAGGGUUUUUUGUGCCAAGCAGCCUGCCCUGAAUUAUUGGUUUAACUUAAUGUAAAUGUUGGAGCAGAACUUGAGUCAAUAUCUACAAUUUUAGAUGAAAGAAUUGCUUAAAUCAACCAAAUUUCUCACAUCUGCAACACGGUAAAGCAAAUGCAUUUCUGCUAUCUAUAAUCCUAGUUCAGAUCUUAUUGGGCAAUACUAUUUUCAUUGACAUCAUCAAGAUUCAAACUAAGAAGUUACAUCAAUAUGAAGAGAUAUUUGAUCUUGGCAAUAACAAAAAUCACGCGUCCGCAUAAACAAAAAGGGUCAGAACUAAACCUGCAAGAAAGCAUGAGGUAAACCUCAGACAUUCUUUAACUUCUUCAUCUUUGAUGGAGGACCAUCUGCCUUUCUUUUCUCAGUUUUCGCUUGCAAACAAGUCGUUCCUGCGAAGCCUUAUUUUCUUCGCCAGUUGCAUCUUCUUCUUCUGCUCUAGCCGCUCUUGCAGCUUUGACUCCAAAGGAAGCUUGUCGACAGGUACCACCGCCUUUUCCUUGCUAUCUGGAAGGGGCUCACUGCCCUCAUUUGCAGCAGCAGUUUCCAUCAAUGUGAGAGGAGGCCUUAACAACUAUUGACGCUGACCUUUUCACAACGGGCAUAUGAAGUCGAACUCCGCUGAAAGAUUUCGGAUGCAGAUUAUUGGGUUUCAUGUGCAUCCAUGAAACUAAAAGCCAGAGACACAAAAUAAAAUUAUCAUACGAAUAUGAGGCGAAAAAUAUACGGAAAAAGCUGAUAUACAAACCAAAUUAACUAUUAUUACUUUAGUCUAAAGAAGCUUUUCAAUUGCACUGUACAAAUGAAUAGUCUUUGGAGCCGAAUUUCACUUUAUUUACGAGGUUGCCACUGACUCUUUCUGCCGCUGAUCUUCAUGCCGUGUGUUGAUGAUCGUGGAAAGGCAAGGGUGCAAUGGUCAGUUUGGUCUGUAGGGUUUCGAACGGGUUGGGUGGGUUAGAGACUUUCAUUUCCUUUCUUUCUAAGCUGUAGUGGGACUCGGUGAGAGCAUACCGUCGGGAGAGAGAGACCGAGCGAGCAGAGAGAGAAGAGAAACACUGAGGGAGAGAGAUAGGGAUUUGGUGAGAGGAAUGAAUGCGACUUGUAGGCAGACAAAGUCACUGGGGGUGUACGAUUCGAAGGAGAGAAAGAAAAGGGAUUGAGUGGUGAUGCUUGAUUUGGGAAGAGAAAGAGAGAGAGAGAGAGAGAGAGAGAGGGAGAGCACGAUUUUGGGGUUAGGCGACGGCGGGAGAGAAGGCGAGGGUUGUUGCAUCUGUGUCACUCAAAGUGGGUUGCGAGAGAGUGAGAGUGCUGCGUUCUAGGGUUUGAGAGUUGGUUUCGAGAAAGUGAGGAGGCCAGAGUUGGGGUAAGGCUUGGGCUGGGUUUAUGGAAUGGGGGAGGAGGGUGUGGAAUGUCAUGGAGAGGAAGGGAGAGGGAGGUCUGCCAAAAAACGUGGGUUGCAGAGCUACAACGAGGGAGAUGGGCGUGGAUUGGCAGGGAGGGGAAGGGAGAGGGAGGAGUGAGGCUUGCCAAAAAGAGUGUUGGAUUGAUUUUUCCUCCUUAAAUCAAGUGUUGGUGUCGGGAUUGAGGAGUGGGUCCAAAAUGGGUAUGGUUGUGACGGAAAGAGGGAUGGCAGAGACAGAGGUGAUGGAGUUGGGCGUGGGAAUUCCACAAAUCAAGGGCUGCUGUAAAUGGGUGUUAAUAUCAGCAAUGAGCAUGAUUCGGAUAUGAGUUCUCUCAACCUUUUAAUUAAUUUUUUUUAUAAAAGAUCUGUAAAUGUUUCAUUUCCAUUUGAAAACUUGGGAAUUCUAGGUACCGUAUAUUGUUUAUGGAAGAAUCUCAGUCUCAAACCCCUCAAACGAUCUCUCGAUCUCUUAAUUUUAGGUACCAUAUAUUGUUUAUGGAAGAAUCUCAGUCUCAAACCCCUCAAACGAUCUCUCGAUCUCUUCUCCCCGCCUAUGGUGAACUCCCUCCUCCCGACCCUGAGAGGUACCUCCGUUGCCUUUACCUUCUGUAAUUUUUGGGGUUCGUGAAAUUAUUGAGUUGAAUGUAGGUUUUUUUGUUUGUUUGAAAAUUUGUAUUUUAAUUGUUGCUCACUCUUUUUUUUUUCUUGCAGUAAAAAGACUUUGCAUGAGCCACAAGGUUAGUGAAAUUAUAGAGUUGAAAUUGUUAGUGUUUUUCUUUUGUUUUUUGUGAAUUAUAAGCUUUGUGAAAUUAUUAAGUUGAAUGUAGGUUUUUUUUGUUUGAAAAUUUGUGCGUUAAUUAUGCUCACUCUUUGUUUUUUCUUUGCGGUAAAAGACUUCGAAUGAACCACAAGGUUACUGAAAUGAUAAAGUUGAAAUUGUUAGUGUUUUUUAUUUUUAUUUUUUGUGAAUUAUAAGCUUUGUGAAGUUAUUGAUUUGAAGAAUGUUGUAUUGGAACUUGGAAUGAAAAUUUUGAUUUGAAUUAUUAGAUAAGCAUGGAGUAUGUAGGAAUUCAACCCACGGCUAGCCAAAAACCACCUCGCCGGGCUGAGUCUGGUGCACCGGGAAGUGGUUCUGAAUGACCUUCUGAUGACCUUGCCCUCACAAGUAUUAUUUGUUCUAAUUGAAAUUUCUAAUAAGCAAAAGUAGGGAAGUUAUAGCUUAUUGCUUUGUGGAAGUUAAGUCUAUUUGGGCAUUCUAUAUUGCCACUGUAACAUGCUUAAGCUAUUUUGUUGGUUGUAAUAUCAUGUGUAUCAUGAAGAUUCUAAGGAAACGCAGAUGGGAGGAGCUCAAAACGCUUUGGUUGUUGGUCUAUUUGCACCAAGGGCACCGUGCGUGGUUUCUUGCUUACAAGUGUAUUAAUGGUUGUUUUCGCAUUUAUUUAAUAUACCUAUGUUGCACAUGUUUCAACUUAUGCCUCUUCCCAUGUAUAUUUGUGCCUAUUGAUUCGGUGACUCGAGCAUUGCAGUUCGCAAGGAUGAUGAGUCUACACGCAGCCCCGAAGGCCGAGUCAACUCACCAAUGACUGUACGAGUUCGCAAAUCUGUGAAGGUACAUAUUAAAUUUACCUAAUUUUUGGAUUUUGAUUUAGUUCAAAGUUGCAGUGGGAUUGAAAAUUGGGACUUUGUGGUACUCUCUCCCUCUCUCUCUCUCUCUCUCUCUCUCCUAUGUGUAUGAAUUGAGUUCUGAAGUGCCUGUGCAGAUGGGCGUGUUUACUAACUAAGCUUUCAAGGGGAGCCCAUCAACGGUUUGCUUGCUGGGGGAAUAUGGAAAUUACCAGUGUAUGAUUUGGUUAUCUUUUAUUUUUUAUUUAAAAUUAUCCAUAUAUAAUGUGGGUAUAUUUAUAAUAAAGAAUUGUGAUAAGCUAGUAUGCCAUAUGACUUUGAAAGCAUUGAUUUUGUGUUUAGUUUGGAUUUUUGCAUUGUGAAUGUUGAAUUUGUGUUUAUUUUGGAUUUUUGUGUUUGAAUUUGUAGCAUGAUCUUUCACUGCAUCAUCCAAAUUUUGCAUUUGUAAAUUGUGAAAGACAAACGAAGUAUGAGGAAAUUAUAGGAGAUUGUGUUGGCUUUGGCCAUUAAGGGUAUUAGCAGGUUGUUCCCCCAUACAGGUGAAUAGUCGUUUUUCAGUGUCUGUUCUAUUUGGAUGAGAAAGUGAUUGAAAAAAGAGGAUUUUUUUUUUUAUUUGUUGGUUGAUUUGUGUGUGGACUUUUUUUUUUUUUUUUUUUUUGAGUAUAGAUGUGAAACCAGCAAUGCAAGAGCAGGAUCUGAUUAGUCAUGCCUGAAAAGGGGUUUGUUUCUUAAAUCACAUUCAUUAGAUUAUUAAUAUGCUUUGAAGGUUCUUCAAUAUGCUUUUCUAAUUUCUCCUUUCCAGCGUUCUCUUUUUGGUUUUUGGAGUAUGUUUGUGAUUUAUAUUUGAUUAUAUAAAUGCAGCAAUUAAUUUGCAUCCUUGUGACAACGCAUAUGUGAAAGUGCAUUCGAUUCCAAUAUGGGUAUGUGUGACACGAUGUGCCUGCUGUUGCUGGUAGGCUUGCUGUUGUUUCUCGCACUGUUAACUUUUUGUGUGUGUUGAUUUGAUUAACAAUUCAAGCAUAUCUUUUGUGUUAUUUAUUUUUUUUUUUUUGUGUUUAAUUUUAUUUGAAUUUCUUAAUUUGUUCAAAGGAUGCUUGGUUAGCAGCCAGUUUUACUUAUUGGUUUUUUUAUUUGGAUUUAUAGCACUGAGGGUAUAGGUGAACGGUGAAGCGGUUUGUAUGGGCUCAUGCAUCUUAAACAUGUAGUGAGAAGUGAGGAUUUUGUUUAAGUGUUUUACAUAAUCUAAAGGAAUAUGUAGAUACUAUGAUUUGGACUUGCGUUCUUAAGUCAUGAUAAAGCAGUCCAAGUAAUUUUAACAUAGAUAUCAUUUUUUAUCUAAUGCAUGAGUAUAUGAAAUGCUAGACGAUAAUAAAUUGGGCAACACCAUGUGAUUUAAAAUUCAAAGAGAUACAAUGAACUGUGUUUGAUAUUUUGUUUGUCUUGGUUCAUUUAAAUUUGGCCUUUUCAGUUGGAUUCAUGGGUUUUGUGUAAGAUAUCAUGUUUCCGUAAGACCGCCAGCGGACAGAGACAGAGCGACAGAGAGAGAGGGAAAGGGAAGAGUGGGGAUCUCACAGCCAUGGAUUACGUCGCCAGUAAAUUUGUAAUUUUCGUUAUUGUUAUUUGUUAAUUAAUCCAUUUUUUUUUUGUUUGAAGGUCAAUUAAUUUAUCAGUUAAUAGUGUUGCUGUUAAUGAUUUAGUUUAAUUAAUCAGUUAAUAAUACUGCUGCUAAUGAUUUAGUUUUAGUAUAAUGAUGCUGUUAAUGAUUUGGUUUUGAGUUUAAAUCUGAUUAGCAAAAAUCGGAGGGUUUAAGGUUAUGCACUUGUUUUGCAUGUGACUGCCAGAGAAAUUCAAGCUUCUGCCAAGGUAAUUAUCGAUAAUUGGAUUGUUUAAUGCGAUCAACGUGGUAGUGAAAUGUUGAAUUUUAUGGCUACAAGUUUCUAAUUGGAAUGCUAAUGCUGCAAUUCAUGAUGAUCAAUAUUUUCUGACUUGAACAUUUACUGCAAAUGUAUUGUUGCUUUGUGAUGAAUGAGUUAUCUUUUGCAUAUAAGUCUUUUUAUUUCUCGAUACUAAGUCUAAAUAGAGAUUUCAGAGCAAAAUUGAGUUCAACAUAGCUUUGAUGGAUGGAUAGAUGUAUGCUUAGUUUGUAAGAAAAGAGAAAACGAAAACCAUACCAAACAACUCGCAUUUAAAGCUCUUUUUCUUUUUCUCUUUUUACAUAAAUCUUUCUUUGUUAGAUUGCUAGGGGGCUGCACUAUGUGAGGGAUUACUAUAGAUACUAGCCUUACGUGACUGCCUUGAUUUAUGCAUGAUGGAACUAAAUUACUUUAGAAUAGAUAAUUUUUUUGGUCUUCUUUCUUUUGUUGGAAUGUUGUCACUGUAAUCCGUUAAUUUUGGAUUGUUUAGUGUCAUGGGUUCUGUAGAAUUAGACUCCAGUUGUGUCAUGGGUUGUGUCAUCCCACAAACAAUUAUGCCAUGUGUGGGAUGCUGGAUGAUUGCUAAAACAUCAGACUUAUCAAAAUGCAAAUAGGAAAUAACACCUAUGUAAGUAUACUCUGGUUUUGGCCCUGCAUUCUUAGUUGUGUGAGAUAUGCAUGGUUGAUAUCAACUAAUAAUGCAUAUUGCAAUUAUAUUCCCUUAAUUGAUGGGGUCUUCAUAACCUUUAUGAAUUGAGUAUAGGAUUUAGAUGCAUAGUGUUGCGAUGGGAACAUGAAGACUGCAUUUGGGAGUGUGCAUUAAGUGUAUUUGAUGCAUCAAUAUUUUUUUAACUUAAAAUAACCCCAAAGGUUUGGCCUUUCUGUAUUCUCAUAUAGCAUUCAACCAACAACAUGCCAUAAGGUCUCCAUUCUCUUUUCUCAUUUUUGUCAGGUCUUUUGAAACAAAAGCGUUCAAACAUACAACGUGAAAUUGCAUGAUUAGAAGAAAACAAAGAUACCCAAAAAAAAAAAACUACACAAACUAAACCAAAUAUUAAGUCUUCCAGACACCCAAAUUCAAAACCAAUAAGUAAUGAUAACUACAUUAUUUUCUUUCCCAAUACACAACAAAUUAGCACAAAAACUCUAUAUAUAUGUAUAUAUAACGCUUCCAUAUGCUUAUUUCUCUUUCUUAGACGAAAUUAUCCAUAUGUCAAACCAUAGUGGAUAAUUUCACUUUAAUAACACUUCCGUAUGCUGAUUUCACCUCAUUAUUUUUUGCAUUCCAAUUGGUCUUUGUUUCGUUCUCAGACAGUUAUCGGCAUAGAUGAAGUAAAAUUCCGUUCUUGGCUCUCUUUUUCUUUGCUGUAGCAUCUUUUGUUUGUUGAUGUAAAUUUGGGUUAUGUUGGAUUUUUCAAUUUGAUUUUCCAAUAUAUGUUUUUGGUGACCAACUGUAGUAAAAUGCUGCUUAAAUAUUCAUCACGUUAAGGUUUUCAUGGUUAUUCGAGAAUAUCAUAUUUAAGUCACUAGAAUUCUUUAUACAGGACUGACUAGGCUCCUAUUUUAAAUGACAGGUCAAUCCCAAUUUUAUGCAUUUAAGUGGAUCACCCUCCUCUUAACCCAGGAGUUCAAUUUCGCUGACAGCCUUCACACUUGGGAUACACUUUCAAGUGAUCUGAGGGUCCUCAGGUAGUAUUAUAUCCUUUUGGACUGUAUAGACUGAAGAGUCUGUUUUCAAUGCAUGAAAUGAAAAAAUUUGGCUUUUGGUUUUCGCCUCCUGAAUUAUCUGAGCUAUUGAUUACAUUAAUGUAUGUAGUACAUGGUAUUUUUAAGCCCGAGGAGGACUAAAUUAGUAAUUUAUACAAAUUUUCUUAUGAGAAGACUUUCUACAUCUUUUCUUAGUCUUCUUAGUGUAUGAUUGAACUUUAUACUCCUUUCAUUCAUUAAUUUAUGAAUUGGGUUGUUUUUCUUUUGGGAUUUCAGUAUUUAGGUCUUUAGUGACUGCACAAUUUCAUGGUUUUUUACUAUUUCAGAAGUAAUUGAUAGAGUUAGAUGUGAUUCUACUAAAGUUGGAAAUCGUUGUGUCCUUAGAGCAAGCAAGUCUGCAGAUAUCCAUUUUGUUUUGAUUCGGGCACCUUCAACCAGACUGUAUAGGACAUAAAAAAAUGAUUUGAUUGCGCUGUUAUUUAUUUCUUUUUUUUUGAAUUUUUAUGGAGGUAUCAUUUUCUCAACAAAAUAGAAAUCACAUAAAUAAAUAAACCACUCAAGCAAUUAAUCUUCAAUAAGAACUUAAUAUCUUCUCAGGUUGGACAAACCAGCAGGUGUACUUCUUCACAAAAUUUACUUGCCCAUCUCUUAGAUGGAUAUAAAGAACAUCAAUUGUGUGUCUCUUACAUUUUUUGGUUUAGCUUUAAGUUAUGAUUUCUGAUACCGUAAUGAGUUUUUUCUCAUAAUGCAUAUGAAGACCUUUGAUUAUGUUGGUUCUAUGUUUGAACUUUGAAGCCAGAAAAACUCAUAUGUUGCUUUUGCAGUUUGAUUAGUAGUUGUUAAUUAGAAUUGGCUAAUUCUUUUACUAAGAAUUUGUUUUUACUCACUCUGUUGGUUCUUCAUAUAAGUACAUAAAAAGUGCAUCAAAGACUAAUUAAAAUUAGUUAGCUUAUGGGUGUGUUAACAUGUUUAAGUAGUAGUACUUAAACUCAAAAGAUGCUGGAGUGUUUCUUUCAUUAAUAAUUUGUAUUGAACUCAGCAUUUCAUAAGAGUCGAACCUGAGAGCUUUGUGGAAAGGAAUAAAACUAGAUCGUACCAUUUUAUGUAUGUUUGAUUACAUUGCUUACAAUUAGUAAUAAUUACAUUUUAUGGACAUUGUAGCUUUCAUGGAGUCCUCUGCUCAAACAUGUGUGAAGUUGAAUGACAAUAGACUACAUAUAUCAAAUAAUGUGGCUCACAGAAUUAAGUAGGAGAUUUAGGAUGGUCAGUUAGUUGUUACAUCCAUUUUAAUUUUCAAAUUAAUUUAGUAAUUGUUUGUGAAAACUCACAUUUCUGAUUUUUUUAAUUCAUUGGACUAUUAAACUGUGUCUUUUCACUUUGCUUUGUUUUACAUAUGUAUUCAACUGACAAUGCAAUAACUUUUUUACAGUAUCACUAACAACUCCCUUUCAUGAAACCAAGGAUGUAAAUAGAAUUAGUAUUUAUGAUGUAAUAUGUAUAUUUUUAGGAGUAUUACUUAAUUGAAUUUGGCACUGCAAAAAAGCAAUGUUGCUGCAAUUGUUAUUUACAUCCAUGCCAUUGGUUUAUAAGAAUGGGCUUUGUGUGUUUGGGCUCCUUGAGUUUGUUUGGUUGCUAUGAAUUGUUUGUGGCGGAUGAAUUUACCAUUUUGAUAUGAUCCUUUAUAUAUAAAAAUUUAUGAAAUUGCUUUGUGUUUAGUUUUUUAUUAUCUAUUUUUGGUUGCUAUCAAUUUACUUGAGUCACGGACAGAGAGCAGGGUUGACCUGCUGAGAUGGCAUAGAGAAGACCAUGGUUGACCUGCACGGAUGGCAGAGAGAAGAGGAGAGAGGGAAGAGUCGUGUGGUUUGGAAACAAGGGGUGGGAUGAGCAAAUCAAGGGUUAGGGGUGCCUGAAAGCUUGAUUGUGUUUUUGUCGGAAACGGGUGCACAGAGAGAUGGCUAGGCAGGGAGGGAGGGCGAGGGUAGGGUUGUUUUCAGUAAUUUUGUUCCAGCUGGAAGUCAUUUCCACAAGAAUUGAUGAAGGUCAUUUCCACAACAAUUGAUGAGGUGUUCUCCCCAGUUGGCAGUUUCAUUUGGUUCAAAAGAUAAGUCUCAGUUUCGAACCAAUUUUUUCUUCUUUGGCUGCUUAUGGUUUGAUCCUAAUUGAACAUGCAUUUUUUUCCUUUUGGUUUGUUCAUUGUUCAGUUGUGGUUCAGUUCUCCACCUUUUGGUUGGAGUACAAAAAAUGCUUUUAAAUUAUUAAAUUAGGAGAGCUAAGAAGAUAUUUUGUGCUAAUUGCUAUUUGAUAACUUUGGUUUUCUCUUUUGGCACCACCUUGCUCUCCAUUUCCCGUUUUCCUCUUGCUCUGCUGGUUUUUCAGUGUUACAACCUCUUUGCAAAAACCACACUGUAUGUGUUUUGCAUGUUUUUGUUCAUGCUUCUAUUGUUUGUUGUUGUGGUGGUGACCAUGUGAAUGGAAUUCUUAGUUAUCUAUUCCUCUAGAAUACGUGAUGCAUUUGAUUUUUGUUCAUUGACAGAUGAUGCCACAUGCCUGACAUUUUUAUGCCAUCACUCUUGGUUCUUUUGUGAUUGUUAUUGUUUGUUUUAAAAUGUGUAUGAUGUGUGUGAUGCACACAUUAGAGCAGAUGUUUCUACAUGUGGUUUUAAAUUGAGCAGAGGCCAUAAUUUUUUUUAUGGCGAUCUAACGGAGGACAUGACACAGGACAGAACACAAUGGCGUUCUAAGAUUCAUAUAGCCGAUCCCACUCAGUGACUUGGAUUUUCCAAGUCUCCAACCGAGAAGUUGUCCUCGCUCGGGAAAUUAAGGGAACACUACCUCAACCUACAUGCUCCACUCACAAAGCUCCAACAUACAAGCUUCAACAAAAGAAAAUUCAAAGAACUUAGUGAAGAAGGCUUUGGUGAUUUAACACAAUACGUUGAAAUUAAGGAAAACUUAUUUAUUGAUAUCCCCGAUAAAUUACAAAUAUGUACAUAUACUUGAGUCAAAAUAAACAAACAAGAGGGAGCCUUCACAAAGGUUGCUUAGGAGAAGUCUCGGCAGUCGGUAGAGCCCCAGAAAAAGAAGGCACCGGAUGGGGAUCAUUCGGAGCCUCAGUAUUGGACAGAACCCUAGAAGGAGGAGGCAUCAGAGGUUGAUCAUUUGGAGCUUCAUUACGCGGUACAGCCCCAGAAGACGAAGGCAAUAAAUGCCUUUGGAACAAACCCACAAAUCUCUGAUGAUCAAGUAAAACCUGACCAUCAAAUUCCUUCAUCUGGUCAAGCUUCCUCUUCAUGUUUGUAGCAUAGUCAUGUGCGAGCCGGUGCAACUGUUUAUUCUCAUGCUUGAGCCCUCUAAUCUCCUGUUUGAGACUCAUCACUUCAGCCGCCAAUGAUUCAACUUGGCGGGUUCGAGCAAAUAGGCGUUGGGCCAUAUUAGACACAGAACCUGCACACUGAACACUAAGAGCCAGAGAAUCCUUAACAGCCAACUCAUCAGACCGUUUGGAAAGUAGUCUGUUAUCUUUGGGAGUGAGAAGGUUCCUGGCCACUACCGCAGCGGUCAUAUCAUUCUUCAUCACGGAAUCCCCAACGGUAAGAGGACCAGUAGGGGAGACGAAGGAUGGGCGCCAUAUGUUGUCUGGAGAAGGCGGGGCUGCCUCUUCAACAAGGUUCAAGUCAAAACGACGGUCGGAGGGGCCAGACAUUUUCAAAGGUGUAGAAGAGAGAAGAGGUCGGACAAAUCAAGAUCUUAGAAGUGCAAGAAUGGAGCUUCUACUGGUGGAUAUUUCAAGUGUGCUUUGGAACUUAAUGUCAGCCUCUAUAAAAAUCUGCACUCGACGAAGCUUCAGAAAUCGAAGAGGCGUUUGCUUUCUCAAAAGCUGGGCUGCUCAGAGACCACGAGGGUCGAUCUCAGAAAUCGAAGAGGCGUUUGCUUUCUCAAAAGCUGGGCUGCUCAAAGACCACGAAGGUCGAUCUCAGAAAUCGAAGAGGUUUGCUUUCUCAAAAGCUGGGCUGCUCAGAGACCACGAGGGCCGAUCUCAAAAAUCGAAGAGGUUUGCUUUCUCAAAAGCUGGGCUGCUCAGAGACCACGAGGGCCGAUCUCAGAAAUCGAAGAGGCACCUACUUUUCCAACCUUGUCAGCACCUGUCACACGCACACUCAGCUUUGCGGAAAUUAUGGGCAUUUUGUCGAAGAUUUCUGGCGAAGUAGAAAGCACAUGAAUCGUACUGUUCAAUCACCCACUUCCCACACGCAACAGUAGCUCAUGGGUACCACAUAUAACUUUGCCAAAGUUCUCUGACAAAGUUGAGACUACUUUUCCAGCCUUGUCAGCACCUGUCACACGCACACUCAGCUUUGCGGAAAUUAUGGGCAUUCUGUCGAAGAUUUCUGGCGAAGUAGAAAGCACAUGAAUCGUACUGUUCAAUCACCCACUUCCCACACGCAACAGUAGCUCAUGGGUACCACAUAUAACUUUGCCAAAGUUCUCUGACAAAGUCGAGACACGUGAAGCUUGCAACUCUCACUACAUCGCUCUGACCAAGAAGGGUAAAAGAAUAGCAAAGAAACAACACUAACAAAGUUUAGACACAUAAAUUUUGAAGGCCUAGCUACCAUAUUAUUACCCACAAGGGUAAAGGAACAGUACCACUGCUGGAUAAUUGGAAAGUCCCGGUGUGUCAACCUCUGUGCUUCAUGGCAAGGUAGACUAGCAAACAUGCCCAACCUUUACUCACAUUCGAGAAAACACUCCCAACAAGAUUGCUUGCCCCAAAAUCGAAGAGGCAUCGCCCUCCGAAUGUCGAGAGCCAGACUCCCAACAUGAUUACUUUCUCAAAAAUCGAAGAGAGGGUAAAGGAACAGUACCACUGUUGGAUAAUUUGAAAGUCCCUGUGUGUCAACCUCUGUGCUUCGUGGCAAGGUAGACUAGCAAACAUGCCCAACCUUUACUCACAUUCGAGAAAAACACCCCCAACAAGAUUGCUUGCUCCAAAAUCGAAGAGGCACCGCCCUCCGAAUCUCGAGAGCCAGACUCCUAACAUGAUUACUUUCUCAAAAAAAUCGAAGAGAGGGUAAAGGAACAGUACCACUGCUGGAUAAUUGGAAAGUCCCUGUGUGUCAACCUUUGUGCUUCGUGGCAAGGUAGACUAGCAAACAUGCCCAACCUUUACUCAUAUUCGAGAAAACACUCCCAACAAGAUUGCUUGCUCCAAAAUCGAAGAGGCACCGCCCUCCGAAUCUCGAGAGCCAGACUCCCAACAUGAUUACUUUCUCAAAAAUCGAAGACACCGCUCUCCGAAUCUCGAGAGCCAGACCCCCAGCAUGAUUGCUUUCUCAAAAAUCGAAGAGGCAUCGUUCUCCGAAUCUCGAGAGGCAGAUCCCCAACAGGAUUGCUUGUUCGAAAACCGAAGAGGCACCACUUUCCCAACUUCAAGAGCCGGAUCUCCUUGGAUAAAGCUUGUCUGUAAUCUUCACACGCAACAUCAGCUUUCCAGAUACCACAGACCACUUUUUCAAAGUGCUCUGACAGAGUUAAAACUUGUGAAGCUGGCAGCUCCCACUACCGUGCUAUGACCAAGCAGGGUAAAGGAAUAGCAUUAUUACUUGAUGUUAGGGAGACUCCUAUAUAUGUCGACCUCCAUCCCCAACGGACAGGCAGACCUGCAAAAAUGCUCAACCCUUCCUCUUAUCUGAGAGGGCACUCCCAACGAAGCCUUUCGAAAUAUUCAGCUUUCUUUCCCCCCGAUAAUACCUCUGUAAACAAGCUAUACUAGAGCAAGAAUAUCUCAUAUCAUCAGGGUUAAAAGCAAGAGUAUCCCAUAUCAUGCUUUUUCCCUGUCUUUUCCUUUGGCCUUGUUCUUACCUGCAAGACAAGGAGAAAGAGAGCAAUCAGUCAGCACUUGUUAUCAAGCUUCCAGCCAGGAACUGACUGCCUGGAACCCCUUACCCUGGCAUUGCUCUCGAGUACUCAUCUUCAACAUCUUAUGCUUCCAGGGAAGAUACCGCAUCUGCCUGAGGAACAGAUAGGGCAAGUGAGAAGGAUACAAGGAAGCAUGUGGAGACAAGCGUAACAGCACACGUGCCGAUACAUCCACUACUCUGUCAAAAGAAAAAGUAUCCCAUAUCAGCAGGGUCGAACGUACUCUAGAUUUGAUGGACUUGUUUUGACCCUCAAAUUCUUCAGUCGGCCUUAUACUUUGGAGGAAACCAGAAAACCCUCCAGCCCAGUUCAAGAAUACGCCUGUGGAAAGUUACUUCUUCAAAAGCAAAAGUAUCCCAUAUCAUCUCUUCUCAUUUUUCUUCUCUUUAUCCUUCAUGCUGCUUGCAAGAUAGGGAGAAUGUGAACAAUCAGCCAGAGCUCUGAUUGCUUACCUUGUCUGUUACCUCUUUCAGCAGAUCCCCUAGCUCGGCGACUUGGGGGACUCCUACUACAUGGUUUGUAUCGUGCUUGACCAAGCCUGAAACUACAAGUAAGCUUCAAGUGACAUUGAUACAUUACCUUGUGCAUCUCCACCAGUUACAGAUACCACCCCUGGAUGGAGGAAGAGUACUUCCAGAGAAGAUUCCACAUCUACCUAUGAGACAGAUAAGGAAAGUCAAGACAAUACCACACUCCGGUACUUAGAAGUUUCGUGGUUACGAGAUCAUUCUCUCACAAUAUUUCCUAAUGUCAUUUGUACUAAAUCAUUCACUUGUACUCCCUAAAGGAGAGCUUGAACCUAUGUACUUGUGUAAACCCUUCACAAUUAAUGAGAACUCCUCUAUUCCGUGGACGUAGCCAAUCUGGGUGAACCACGUACAUCUUGUGUUUUCUUUCCUAUCUUUAUCCAUUUAUAUACUUAUCCACACUAAUGACCGGAGCAAUCUAGCGAAGAUCACAAAAAGUGACCGUUUUCGCUACCUAGGAUCUAUCUUGCAAGAGAACGGAGAAUUAGAUGGAGAUCUCAACCAUAGAAUACAAGCUGGAUGGAUGAAGUGUAAGAGUGUAUCCGGCGUGUUGUGUGAUCGUCGUAGGCCACUGAAGCUCAAGGGAAAAUUUUAUAGGACGGCAAUAAGGCCAACGAUGUUGUAUGGCACAAAAUGUUGGGCGGUGAAGCAUCAACACGUACACAAAAUGGGUGUAGCGGAGAUGAGGAUGCUUCGUGGGAUGUAUGGGCACACGAGAAAGGAUAAGAUUGGGAAUGAGGAUAUCCAAGGUAAAGUAGGAGUAGCCAAAAUUGAAGGAAAUAUGAGAGAAAAUCGGUUCCGGUGGUUUGGACAUGUGCAAAGAAGGCCUACUGACGCUCCGGUUCGAAAAUGUGACUACGGGACAGAAGUUCAGGGCCGAAGGGGUAGAGGAAGACCUAGGAAAACUUUGGAAGAGACCCUAAGAAAAGACUUGAUUACUUGGAUCUAACGGAGGACAUGACACAAAACCGAGCGCAAUGGCGUUCUAGGAUUCAUAUAGCCGACCCCACUUAGUGGGAAAAGGCUUUGUUGUUGUUGUUGUUGUUGUAGAUCGAACUAUCAUCACAACAUCGUGAUACUCUUGCUGCUGCCUUUGAUCUAGGGGUCCGCAGCGAUUGCACUUGAAUCAAGGCUCUGGUAGUGAACUUUCUCAUUCUUCCCGAAGUGCUUUAAUAUGUGUUGUUGAUAACUGCACUCUCUCAACGAACCAGAAAUAUUUUUAGACAAAUUGCAACUUCCGUAUUUUAGAAAAUGAGUGGCUUUUUAACAAUGCAUGAAUGCAGCUUACAUGUUCAGCAAAAUUCAUGGAUAUUUACAUUCAACCCGCAAGUAUCAUUAACUCAUAAAAUAUUAAGUUUAAUUCAUGGAUGUUUAUAUUGAACCCGCAAGAAUCAUUAACUCAUAAAAAAUUAUGUUUUGUAUUUUUUGUAUCGACUAUUGCUUCAAAUUUUUAUCUAAAACAUUGUCUAAAUGCUUAUUGGUUGUGUUUUUUGCCGCUUUGUUCAUUGAUGAUUGUGUUAAAUUUAUUCAGGUCCCGCCGCAACGCGCGGGCCUAUUUUCUAGUCUAUACUAAAGUAGGGGGAGAGCAGACACUAUUUACGUUUGUUUUGAUUUUGCUUUAUUUACAACAAUACCAGCCGAAUGGGAGUGGGUUGGGAGGGUAAUUCUCAAAAUUUCAGAGGGUAAUUUUGUCCAUAUGGCUUAUCAGGGAGCCACUCGAUUUCACGCAACAAAGCUGUCAGGUUUGGGCUGAUAUUGGGGCUGGGUUGGAAGGGCAAUUUUGUCCUGUUUGUUUGAGACGGAUUGGGGUGGGUUUACGUUUGCUGUCAUUCAGUGAGGGUUUCGGGGAUGGGAGGCCAUGCCUCCGAUAGAGAGGGAGAGAGAGAGACAGAGCGAGAGAGAGAGGGAGAGGGAUCCUGGCAUGGGUGAGUGGAAGGGAGACAGUGAGAGAAAGAGAGAGGGAGGGGUUGGAUGGUGAACAGAGCUGAGUAAGGUCCCCUCAGUUCAUGAAUCACUCUGGAUCGUCCUUUCCGUUUUGCAUGUCGGAUCAAUGGCUGGAUUUUGAAAGCUGAGUUCCAUUUUUUAUUCCAUUCUUUGUUGUUAGCAUAGAUGUGAACUGUUGGGGUUAGGUUUUGGGGGUUCCUUUGUUUCAUUUUCUCUCAUUUUGGGGAUGCAUCUCUCUGUUCUGUGCAUUGUCUUCUGUUUUAAGGUCAGUUUUCUUCUUCUUUUUUGUGGCUUUUUUUUGGGGGGGGGGGUUCAGUUUGUUGAUCUUUCACUUUGUAUUUAGAUUUUUCGUUCGUGAAUGAUUAAAUGGGUAUUGGGUUUUGGUGGUUGAAAAUAUGUUUUUUUUUUUCUGCUUAAGCUUCUUGCUCAUUUUCCUGGGAUUUUUGGUUUUCGGUUGCAAGGGUAAAGGGAACACUAAAAUCUCAGGUUAAAUGGGUAUUGGGUUUUGGUGGUUUAAAAUAUGAUUUUUUUUUGCUUAAGCUUCUUGCUCAUUUUUCUAGGAUUUUUGGUUUUCGGUUGCAAGGGUAAAGAGAAUGCUAAAAUCUUAGAAAUUGGUAUUGGCAAUUGUAUUAAUGCAUUUGCAUUUUCGUUGGUUUGCAUUAUAGGUGCAUUGAGACCUAAAAAUAUUUGCGUGAACUUCAUAAAUUUUUCUGAGGCUUUGAUCCUUGAAGGGUAUGUGUUUUUAAGCUAAGUUCAAUUUUUAAUUCGCUUCUCUACUGUUAGCAUAGAUUGUUAUCAUUUCUGCCCUUUUGUUAUGAAUUAUUUCUGGAUAUUAAAUAAACUGCAUAAAAUUUGGAUAUGAUGAGAAAACUAAUUAAACUGAAUGUUGGUAAUGAUUUCGUUUUUGAGAAGCUGUCGAAAAACAAAGUUUAGAUAGGAAAAACAUCAUCCUUACCAGUUAAGUCAUUGAUAGCAUUUUGAGCAUCCUGAAAAAGUAAAUGAGAGUAUGAUGAGAUUCAAUUUAGUUACAAAUUGACAAACUGUUAAAGGCAGAGGCUAGGCUUUAAACUAUUGUUCAGUGUUUAUCUGUACUGGUUUGUCUUACGGAAGUAUUAUUUCAAAUUUGUUGUGUGCUUGAGGAGGUCUAUCUUUUAUUCUAUCCUGAAAUUGGUCUGUCUUUGGAAUGGAAAGAUAAAAAUUUCGUAAAUGUUUUGAUAUUUUUGACAUGAUUUAUACUUGGGAUUUAUAUUUUUCAAAGUUUGUAAAAGUACUUGACCUGUGAUGAGUUCCUUUGUAUACGUUAUUAAAUAAGUUACAUAUUUUUCGUGAAUAAUUGUGUGUUUGAUCUGGUACUAGAACAAGAAUGCUGUUUGAAAUUUUGUUGGCGUACUAAGUGAAACUACCACUACUGAGGCUUUGGAGGAAUGGUGUCGAAACCCAUCAAAUUUUCCCAUACUGAUUGCUUCAUUUAUUUUUUUAAGCUUUAUUUGCCUCAUUGUUCACCUGUGAUGGUUUCAUCAAUAUUGGUAACAUAGGAUAAUUUCAUGUUUUUUUCUUUCGGUUUUACGACAUUUUUCCUCGCUUCAAAAUCUUAUAGGCUUCAUAAAUUUACUUACCUUUGUUGGGAUUCUGAUCUUUUUACUGAAAUUGUUUUGGUCCCUGCUACUCAACUCUGAUUUCUGCUAUUAAUUGCUGCUGAAAUGUGACUUUUGCUAUUAAUUUAUUUACCCUUCAUAUUUAUGCUGCUUUUUUAUUCCAUUCGAAUUAAAUAAUGUAGUUAAUCUUGAUAUGAAUUCUCUCUGCAACAAUAAUUAGCGAUUUUAGUUUAAAUUAUUAUUGAUUUGUUCUUGAUCUGCCAUUGAAUCUUUCUUAAUUUAGACUACAGGUGGUUCUGACGCGGAGGAGAAGCUGUAAGAGGUAAUGAUCCUGCUGCACUUAAGUGCAGUUGUUCUUCAACUCAUAUAAACUUUCUGGUAGGGUUCAAACUGUUAAGGGUUUUAUUAUUUUGCAAAAGCUUUUUAGCAGCAGAAGUUUGGUCUUUUUGUGGUUGCAUUAUUACACUAUACAACUUGAGUUAGAAGGGGUUUCUUGCUAACUGAUGUGACUUAAGAAUUCUAAAAGCAGUUGCAUUUUACAAUAUACAACUUUAGUUUGUCUCAGUUUCUCAAUGAGUGCCAUAUGAAUUCUUAAUUUAAUUUCGGAAGGUGAUGCGUUUAAAGUUUGUGUUAUGUGAUGAAGUUAGCAUUUUGUAUUUUUUUUUUAUUAUACACUGGUGGUGAACAUUUUUAGCAUAUUGGUUGAGAAAGAUUUAUCAUUUUCUCAUUUUUGUAUUUCUAUAAAUUUUGAGAGUCUUCGUUCUUCAAAAAUCAGAAAGGUUACAAUGUAGUAAGGGUGUAAGAGUUGCCCUGGAUCAAGCAAAAGGAGUAAUACAUUCAGCAUUUACGCACUGAAGUAGGCCAAAAGUGAAAACCGACGAGUAAAGAUUAUGGUAAUUCACUAAUUUAAACAUAAACCAGCUUUGAGAGUGAUACUCACCCAUUGUCGGUUUUCCUUGCGAGCAUAUUUUCUACCCAAAGUUUCCCAAACUGUUCUCAAACUGCUGUAUCGGCAUAUCUUUCCAACUUCUAAUAGUCUCUGGUGCUAGAACAUCUUCUAACUUCAUUCUAAAAAAAAUAGAUUGAUACGUAAUGACAUUUGAAACCAGGUAAGUAAACAGUUUAAUGAGGACGAAAUUCAGAAGUAGACCCAAAUUGUCAGAUAUUCCUUGGGAGUAAGCAUUGUUCGUUUUUAAUCACAAAUGGUAGCUAAAAUUAUCUUAUUUAUUACCACCAUUGAUUUGAAUUUGUAAUACACAAUGUUUAAAUCAUUUGAUCGUUAGUUAGUUAAAUUUAAUACUGGUAGUUUGGUUGUGAUCGAAUUUAUCCAAUCUCAAAAAGUGUGACAUGUGAGGUGAUAACAGACUAACAGAGGAGAAUGAGUUGACACUUCUGUGUUUGAUUUACAAAUUUUGGCUAAUUCUUGCCUUUUUUUUUGUUUCCUGGUGAUAUAUAUCUGUCUUCAUAACCAAGUAGCGAUAACUUUGAGUUUCUAGAAGUUUUAAUGCAUGGUUUAUUGAAUUGAUUUUGAUGUGUGGCUUAUUCAAUUUGAAUUUGGAUAUGUGCUAAUUUGAAGAACUUGACAAAAUCUGAGGAACCUUAUUCACUAUUUGGCCAUUAGAUAAAACAUCAAUAUAAUUUCCCUUGCUUUCACUGAUUCUCUGUGAUUAAAGUCUAGAAAAAUACAGUGAAAAAGAUGAAACUUUUUUAUGGGAUUGACAAUUUUCGGUUUAGUUUUGGAUAAAAAAGAAUCGGUGUGUUACUUAUUAAGUUGAGUUAACAAAUUUGCAACAUGCAACAGAGCACAUAGGAGAACUUUUCAAACGAGUUAAGAAGAUCUAGCUGAAAAGAACUUACAAGAUAGAGAACUGAUAUGCUGCUUUGUCUUUGUGUUGGAUUUUGAUGUUUAUGUUUUGCUUCUAAGUAGACUUUAUACUGUUUUAGAUCAGUUUUGUAAAUGUGCUUAAAGAUUGGACAUGUUAUUGAAUAUUAGCCAUGUAGUUUGAAUUGGAUAUGUGAUUGAAUAUUAGGUAUUUAGUUUGAAUUGAUUUGAAUAUGUGGUUUAUUGAAUUGGAAUUUGGAUGUGUGCUAAUUUGAAUUGGAUAUGUUUGAGUUAGAGAUGUGCUACUUUGAAUUGGAGUGUGCUAUAUUAAUAUAUAAUGAACUAAUGGAUACAGAACACACACACACACAUUCACCAGUCACCACAUACUUUGGGUUAUACCUGUAUGGGUGAAUCGCUCUAAUACUGUGUAUUGGCAUGGUUAAUUCUUUUAGGUGCAGGUUACCCUAUAGAUGUUACAAUUUAGGUCUCGAAUAAUCUUUCUCACCUCCCUUCUAAUACCAUCAAGUCAAGUGGACCUUUCCUAAACAAACCUACCAAUCUCUAAAAUCUUCCAAAUUUCCAUACCUCUUCUAUAGGUUUUCAGUGGAUCAAGACUUUUUGUUGACAUCUUAGUGUUUAUGUUCAACACAUAACUCAACAACGAGUUACAAGGAAAUGAGAUAUUUAUGCAAAUCAUUUGGAGUUUGAUCUAUUUGUAUUAAUGUACGAAUGGAGAAUUAUUUUAAUUGGUUUUUUUUAUGUUUAACAUCUUUUGUUAUUCAUAUUUUUACCUCUUUUCCAAUUUUGGGGAGCAUUUUUUGCUUUUUAGUUGGCUUUAAAACGAAAUUUUUUAAGCUGCCAAACUGCAUUUGGUUUUGUUUGAAGCUACUAAACCGCAUUUGGUUCUGUUUGAUUGUUGUCUAUUUAGAGUUUUUCCUGUUUUGGUUGGUGGGGUUGAAUUUAUUUGGGUUUAUAUUUGAUUUAGUUGGUUAAUUUUUUUUAUUAGUUGCAGAUGAUAUAUUACUGUGGAACUUUCAAUCUUUGUGGUCAUUUCAGUGGUAGUUUUGCAUAUCUUGAUAUGUAAUGAUAAAAAAAUUAAUGACAUUGGUCAUAAAACAAUUUUUUGGUUUGGUUUAGAAGAAUGCGGUUGGUUCAGUGAGAUUUUUAUUCAUUAACUGCAUAACCAAAUUUAUGAAUUGUAUAUGUUGUCUUGAUAUCUAUGAAUGUGUAAUGGAGAUGUAAACAGAUAGUAUGAAUGAGAGGGUUGAAAUGGAAUCAACCCUGUGGUUGGGGACUGAACGAAUGUAAAAUGUUAGAUCUAGUAUAAAUUGGAUAGUUGAGCAUCCCAGUGUGGUUCUCUGUUUUUCCAAGAGAAUAUGUAUUGGGUAGGUUGGUCAGCUUCGAUUUCAGCAAUAGGAGAAAUUUAAACUGUGAUAUAUAAAGUUGGUUAUUUGCUUCUCACGCCAUUAAGCCACAAAAGUUAUUCCUGCACUUAGUUCUUUAUUAUAAGAUUGAACAAAUUUAAUUUGCUUUUACAUCCGAUUGUAUUGAAGUAAUUGUAGGUUCCAUGACAUUACUGUUCCAUUAUGGCCUUGGUACAGAGCCCUUGCAAUUUACUCAACAUUUCACGUAGGCCUUGAACUUGUGUACUCUUCACUGAACCAAAUUAGUUGUGUUAGAUUCAAAAUAUUCCUAAAUUUUUUUUGUUUUGUUUUGUUUUGUUUUUUUGGUUUUUUGGUGUGUCUUUGCUCAUUUAGCUAAAUUUCAUUAGAUUUCGUCUUUGAAUUUGAAAGUCUUAGGGUUGCUAAUGGAUUUACUUUUUGCAAAUUUCAGAAAUUUCGAUCGUUGGAGGAAGAAGUUGGUUCCUUGAUGUUUUGAGGUAUAUAAUUAUGUGCCAUCAUUUUUUUUUCAAAGCCUAAUUAGUUAUCUACCUUUUUUUAUUUAUAUUCGUGAAUCUUUCAUGCUUGGAUUUUAAAUAUAUGUGUAAACACGGAAAAUUCCUGAAACGAAAGAGACAAGAACAACGUGCACAAACAAAUAUUUGUAUUUGAUGAUGUUUUUGGGUUACAAUCUCUCUCUAAUUUGAUCAUCUGAUUCGAUCUCCGUAAGACGUUGAUUUGUGGAUGUUUCGUUGAUCCAAGGGCCGUCGGGGCUUGAUCUUGGAUGAACUGUUGGAAGUUUCUUUAAAGGGCCGUGGGCUUGAUCUUUGAAGGUGGAUUUGAGCGGAUCUUCAAGGAGCCGUUUGAGGCUUGAUCUUGAAUAACGGUGAUGAGCGGAUCUUCAAGGGCUUUUGGGCUUGAUCUUGAAGAAACAGUGAUGAACAGAUCUUCAAGGGCUUUUAGGCUUAAUCUUGAAGAACGGUUGGAUGUGUGUGUGGAUUUGUCGACGUUGUUGAUCCAAAGGGCCGUUGGGGCUUGAUCUUAGGAUGAGUAGUUGUGUGGAUUUGUUGAUGUUGUUGAUCCAAAGGGCCGUUGGGGCUUGAUCUUAAGAUGAACGGAUGAUGAACGAUGAAACUUUCUUCAAGGGCCGUCGGGGCUUGAUCUUGAAUUGGUGGAUGAUUGUUGAUCCAAAGGGCCGUUGGGCUUGAUCUUGGAAGAACGAUGAACGAAGAACGAAGAACACUUUCUUGAUUCUUCGGGAACCUGGAUGCUUGAGAGCUUCGGAGUUUCAGAGCUUCAGAGCUUCAAGGUGUCAUAUGAAUUCCUUCCUCCCCUUUGGAAUGAAAUAGCCUUCUAUUUAUAGAAAUUUCCAAGGCCUAAUUUUGAAUAUAAUAUUCCAGAUGAAAUAAGUCGUUUCUGCCAGGUGUUGACACGUGUCCUAUUUGAUGACUUUUCCAACUCAUUUCAAUUUUCGUUGAGUCACACGCUACGUGUAAAAUUUUUGUAAUACAUGAACGUUGACACUUUGAUUUAUCGGUCAACAUUUAUUUACCGAAAUUUCGAUGUCUACAAAUGCCCCCACUUCAAGGCACGUCGUAUACAUGUGCUUGUCAAGUGUAGGAGAUGCGUUUUGAAGUCCCUUACUGUAGAUGUCAAUCCAAGGGCCGUCGAGGCUUGAUCUUGAAUUGGGCUGGAGAUUUCUUCAAGGGCCAUUGAGGCUUGAUCUUAAAUUGGGCUUGAGAUUUCUUCAAGGGCCUUUGAGGCUUGUUCUUGAAUUUUUGUUUGAAAUUUCUUCAAGGGCCGUCGAGACUUGAUCUUGAAGGUUGAAAUUGGACCACAAGGAGCUUCAUGUUGUAGAUGAUCUUUGGCUUUAGUAGUGGGUGAAUCGGCACAUAUUUUGUUGCGCUUGUUGACUUUCCACAGCUUUGAUCUUGAACUGGGUUGGAGGAUUUUCUGGAUUCCUCCAAUUGUUGAUUUUCCACAGCUUAUUCUUGAACUAGGUUUUGAUUCAAGGGUGGUAGACACUUAAUCUUGAAUCGGACUUGUGAUUUCCUCAAGGGCCGUCGAGGCUUGAUCUUGAAUUUGGCUGGAAACUUCUUCAAGGGUCGUUGAGGCUUGAUUCUUGAAGGUUGACUCGAACACAUGGCAAGCGGGCACGAGGUGAAGGUGACGACUUGUUGCUUUGUUCAAUCUUUCUAAUUCACACCUGAGCAGUUUGGUCAACGGUAUGAUCUUCAAGAUUGACGGGCUAUUCUUCCAGAUGGUGACUUGAUCUUUAAGGAUUUGAUUCAAGGGUGGUGAAUCGGCACGUGCAGCCCACAACGCCUAGUAAGUCGACCUAAGAAUUUGAGGGUCAAAACGAGUUCACCGUCCAGAGUGAUUGCACCCUGAUGAUAUGAGAUACUUUUGAUUUUAACAAGUAGCGGAUGAAUUAGCACGUGCUUGGUUGCACUUGUCUCCACAUGCUUCAAGGUAUCAUUUUCAUUUCCUUUAUCUGUUCCUCAGGCAGAUGCGGCAUCUUUUCGAGUUCUUCAUCUCAGACUCUUUAUGCUGAGUUGACUGUGUAUGCUGCAUUCUUCUCUGCUUGUUUCUUCAGGCAGAUAUGGCAGUUUCUCGAGUUCCUCAGUUCGGACUCCUUCUUCUGAGUUGACUGUGCAGACCGCAUUCUUCUCUGCUUGUUCCUUCUGCACCUUGUCUCCACAUGCUGCAAGGUAUCAUUUUUACUUGCCUUAUCUGUUCUCCAGGCAGAUGUGGCAGCUUCUUUGGAGGUACAGCAGCAGUGGGAAAUGAGUACUCGAGAGCAGUGCUAGGUAGGCAAUCAGGGAAGGGUUCCAAGCAGUCGGUUCCUUACCCGAGUUUGAGUGGAAGUUCCGGCAUAUUGUUUUCUUUAUCCUUGUCUUUGUAGGUAGGAACAAGGACAAAGGAAAGGACAGGGAGAACACAUGAUAUGAGAUACUAUUGCUUUCUACCCUGGUGAUAUGAGAUACUUUUGCUUUGGAGUCAUUGGCUUGCAGAGUUACCCCAAGGAAUAAAGAACACUGAAUGACUCGAGAGGUUUCGUUGGGAAAGCAUUAUUUUUUUUUUUUGGAGAUGAAGAAAGGUUCUGUAUGUAUGCCUUGCUAUGGAGGGUGAAGGUGGACAGUUAUAAGAAGUUCCUUAAUACCUGUAGAGGUACUCUUCUUUCACUCGUGUCAGUAACCAAUGCGUGAUUGAUCAGUAUGGCUUUAUGUGCUUUCUUCUUUAUCAGAAAUCUUCGACGAAUUGUCCGUAAUUUCCGCCAAGCUGAGUGUGCAUGUGACAUGUGUUGACGCGGCUGAAAAAACUGGCGCCUCUUCGAUAACUGGGAUCGGCGCUUCGACAAAUUACCCGUGAUUUCCGCAAAGCUGAGUUUGCGUGUGAUGGGUGCUGACGUGUCUGGAAAAGACUGGCGUCUCUUCGAUAUCUGGGAUCGGCGCUUCGACAAAUUACCCGUGAUUUCCGCAAAGCUGAGUUUGCGUGUGAUGAGUGUUGACGCGUCUGGAAAAAGCAAGAUGCCUCUUCGAUUUCUGAGCUUGCCUCUUCGAUUUUUGAAUUGGCCUCUUCGAAUUCUGAGCUCGCCUCUUCGAUCUUUGAAAUCCUGUUAAGUGCUGAUUUUUAUAGAGGCACGCAGUUCGUUUCAAAGCACACUUGAAUUUUCUCUUGUAGAAACUCCAUUCUUGCACUUCUAAGAUCUUGACUUGUCUGACCUCUUCUUUCUUCAACACCUUUGAAAAUGUCUGGACCCUCCGACCGUUGUUUUGAUUUGAACCUUGGUGAAGAGGCAGUCCCGCCUUCUCCUGACAACAUAUGACGCCCAUCCUUCAUAUCCCCUACUAGUCUUCUUACCGUUGGGGAUUCGGUGAUGAAGAAUGAUAUGACCGCUGCGGUGGUGGCCCGGAACCUUGUCACUCCUAAAGAUAACAGACUACUUUCCAGGCGGUCUGAUGAGUUGGCUGUUAAAGAGUCUCUGGCUCUUAGUGUGCAGUGUGCGGGUUCUGUGUCCAACAUGGCCCAACGCCUAUUUGCUCGAACCCGUCAAAUUGAAUCAUUGGCGGCUGAAGUGAUGAGUCUCAAACAGGAGAUUAGAGGGCUUAAGCAUGAGAAUAAACAGUUGCACAAGCUCGCACACAACUAUGCCACAAACAUGAAGAGGAAAAUUGACCAGAUGCAGGAAUCUGAUGGUCAGAUUUUACUUGAUCAUCGGAGGUUUGUGGGUUUGUUCCAACAACAUUUGCCUUCGUCUUCUGGGGCUGUACCGCGUAGUGAAGCUCCGAAUGAUCAACCUCCGAUACCUCUUCUUCUUGGAGUUCCACCAAGUGGUGUGACUUCAAACAGUCAACCUUCUAUUUGCUUGGAUGGUCGUGUUACUUGAUGGAACUGCGGCUGUGCUCUUCAGCUGCUUGAUUCUCUCUCUAAAAUUACCCACUCAUCGUUGAAGCUUCAAUUUCCAUUAAAAAUUUUCACUGUUGAGGUAAACUCUCUGCUAAAAGCUUCUAAUUCAUCCUUUAUUUCUUAUUUCAUCUGGGCAAAUUUGUUGAUUAGGGUUAGGUUGGGGUCUGUUUGGUUGCUGGAAAAUUUGGGAAAGAAAAUGGAGUCUUGGGAUUAGGAUUUAGGACCUUCAUAACUUGAUUGAUUAUGAAUUUGUUUGUUUAUCUCUUAAUUAGUAUUCAAAUUUAGUGCAUAUAAGUCCCUUUCUUAAGAGGGAUCUAUUUUGAUAAGAAACAAGACCUUACAACUGUUGCAUUUUUCGUUUUCUUGAUUGUAAAGUCUCUGUACCAUGUCACGUAUAUUAAUAGGAUGCUUAGGUAAUUGCAGGAGAAGUUAUGCAUGCAUUCUUUUGGCAAUCCUUUCCCAGAACCUGUAUUGAUCCUGAUAUGAGUCUAACUCUGCCUUGGUCAUUGCUCAACAUGGAAACGUAAUGAAAUAUCUUCUUUAUAAGCGUUUCUAGGCUCUAGCCUCUCUUUUUGAGCAAACUUAUCUAAUGUAUAACAAAGCAUGUUCUACUAGAGCUCAAAUCAAACAAAGAGAGGGAAAAUCAAAAUACACCAGAAAUAAAAAAAAAUAAAAAAUAAAAACUUAAUUUAUUAAGAUGUAUGGAGGAAAGAUUUUAGUCAUUUAAAUUUGGGUUAAAUUAAUGAUGUUAUGUAGUGAUUCUAAUUUGAUGCUUGCUUGCCCUGCAAUCAACUCAGUGCUUAAGGAUUAUGUAUGUUUCCCACUUCCCAGGUCUAAUUUGAUCGCAUGCAUGUAACAACAGUUAAAUUGGGGGACUGGACAAUUAACUAAUCAUGAUCAUGUAUGAAUAUGGUCUCUGCAAGCUCAUUACUGUUAUGGGAAACCACCUAAAUAAUCAAUUCCUUGCUUUCUACGUACAAUGUUAUCAAAUUCUAAUUUCAAAUUUUCUGAUUUUGGGGUGGAGGGAGUGCUAAUAUAGUAAUUUUCAGGUAUUUUGGUUCUUUGCGGGAUUUUUUUUGGGUAACUUUGUGAUUUGUAGUUGAUUUUAGGAAUUGUUUAUGGGUUUGGUUUGAAUGCACUGACAGAAGUUAUUGUUUCUGUUAAUGCAUAUGAAAUAGGGUUUCUGCUUUCUAGGAUGUUUCUGGUCUUUAGAAAUUGCUUGAUUUGGUAUUGUCAAAUGGUAUAUGAAUUUCCACGUUCACUUUGACAGUAUGUCGUAGUAGUUUAAUUGGUGCGAUAGAAGUUGAGGUGUUGACAUGCAAUGAGACACAUGUAGUUUUCCUUGAUUUCGCAGGAUAAAGUUUUAGUUUGAUUUAGGCUAUAAAUGAUAACCAAAUUAAGUUGAAUGAGUUGUCACAAUUAGAGACGGCUGAUGGCAUUUUGAACUGCUCAGAUACAACUGAAGUGGAGAAGGAUAGCUCAGUGGCUUCCUAAGGUGCAAUGCUACUUCAGAAUGCUUUAGUUCAGAAGCCGGCAGAAUCGAAUGACAAUCUUGGACCAAGAAAGAAAUCAUUAUGUGAUAUUGGGAACCUACUGGUAUGCUUCAUUAUCCUUUUUGAACCCUGCUUUAUUUUUCUUAAAGAACUAAAAUAUUUUUUAGUGAGGACUAUGUUCUCCACUCUAAUAAUUUUCUUACCCUUAUAUGGGACUGUUUGCAUUUCAGAACUGUGUUUUUAAGGUACUUAUGACUUCUAAUUGCCAUUUUGCAUUCAAAAUAUACUCUAUUGCUUGCUGGGGUUUAUCCCUUGGAGCAUUUCAUUACGUUUCUCCUUACUGUCUAACUGAAAAUUUUUAAACCCUAUAUAGUUGAAUGCAGACACUGCAAAACCUGGCUCUAAGAACUGUAGAUGCUGAAGACAAAAAAGAACCAGAGGAUGCUUUGCAAGCAGAAGGUUAAGAUAAAUUUUUCGUUAUGAAAGAGAACAUUGUUCUUCAUUUGCAUACGGUUUUUACUACAAAUUUAAUUUAUAUGCUUGAAACUUACGCUGUCAUAUCAUAGUUCAAAACGAAUAUAUUUGUGUUAUUGGAUAAGCAUUGGCCAAUUGGAAGGCUAUUGACUUUUCUUAUAAAGAAAUCAGUCAUCUUCUCAUUUUCGAUGUUGAAGAGUUGGUUGCGUUUUAAUAUUUAUAGGCCAGGACGAAAGAAAAAAGAUUAGGCUAAUAGUUUAUGAGCCCCUAAAAUUUGUAGUGACCUAUUGGAAAUUAUAUAAUAUUUUAGAUGUCUAAAGGUUAACGUGCCAAGUCAUUAUGCUGGUACUAUUCCGUUUUAGUAUUUGUUGGAUUAGAAUGUACUCAUUGUUUUAAGUGAGUAAUAAUUUUGACUCCUAAUAAAUAUUUAGAUUGAUAAAUCAAAGGGUAGGGAGGGAUAGUCGGUGAAGCUCUUGGUUUGGGUGCUUUAACAUGCUGUUGUGUAUUUUACUGUUUUAUUAGAUUUGGUGCUUCAUAUGCAAAUAAUGUAUUUCUGAAUCGGAUUUCCUAUUUUUAAGAGAAUGGUACUCUCUCUGCUUCCUCCUUGCAUAUUGAUAAUUAUAUAUUUGUGUGUGUAUGUGUAACUAUGUAUACAUCAUUUUUUUGUUGUUGUACAUGUUAUACAAAUGCAAAUAUGAUGUUAUAUCCACCCGCCGCCCCCCGCGGAGGUGCUGAAACUCACAUAUCCUAUAGGAUGCAUAUGUUAUUUUGUUUUAUUGAACUGGACUAACAAAAUUUGGAGUUUCUACUUAUUUGAUUUGGAUAUGGAGUAAAUUUGCUCCUCUGUUAAUGAGUUCAUGUUCCCUUUCUUAUUUCAGGUAUUGAGUAUAUCCCUUUCUGCCUUGGGAUCUUUGAAGUGGCUUCAUAAUAAUAAGCCUAAGACGCAGGUUCUUAUAAUAUACAUGUGUAGGAAUUGUUCAAACCAUCCAUCUAUCAUAAGGUCAGCUCCUUAGCUUCCAUUUGUUCUACUGCUACUUGAAAAAUUAUGCGCUUUUAACAUUGGUCCAUUGCUAUGACUAUGACAUUGAUUCUCUUUUGACUGGUUACCAUAUCGUGUUGUAAUCAAUUGACAGUCUCUGUGAUUAAGUUGCAACUUGAAUGUUUUCUUGCCUACUUCUAACUUUGGGUGUUUUAUUCUGCAACACUGUUAUUCGGAUGACUAUGAUCAUGUAAGCAUCAAUAUUCACACUCUUUGUCUCUGUAUGGCAUAGAAUGUUGGACGGUGAAGCAUCAACACGUAGGUGUGGUGGAGAUGAGGAUGCUUCAUCGGAUGUGUGGGUACACGAGAAAGGAUAAGAUUAGGAAUGAGGAUAUCCGAGGUAAAGUAGGAGUAGCUGAAAUUGAAGGAAAGAGGAGAGAAAAUCGGUUACGGUGGUUUGGACAUGUGCAAAGAAGGUCUACUGACGCUCCGGUUCGAAGUGACCACGGGACAGAGGUUCAGGGCCGAAGGGGUAGAGGAAGACCUAGGAAAACUUUGGAAGAGACCCUAAGAAAAGACUUAGAGUACUUGGAUCUAACGGAGGACAUGACACAAAACCGAGCGCAAUGGCGUUCUAGGAUUCAUAUAGCCGACCCCACUUAAUAGGAAAAGGCUUUGUUGUUGUUGUUGUAUUAGGAGCUUCAGCUGGUAGGCUCACUGCAGGUGAUGCUUGGGAGUGACGCUGUAAUCCAGUAAUUACAUUUUGUAGGAUUUAUUAUCAACUGAUAGGUAGAUGAUAUAGAAUUUAUUAAGGUAUUUUAGUUCUAUACACACAAGAGACAAAAAACAAAAAAACAAAAAAAAAAAUGAUUGUGAAAGUAACUUUCUUUUUCAUUAUUGAAAGUGCAUUACAACUAUCAGAGUUAUAUUUUAUUCAAUUAUUCUUAUAGUUUUAGGUGGUGAUUAAGUUUAUGGUACGUAAUAUUCUUAUUAGUUUUUUGUUGUUAUAUUUUAUUCAAAUAAUAUCUUUAGUCGUAUUUUAUUCAAACAUUACCAGAACAUUUUCGAUUGCAGACUCGGAUUUCUAAGAGCCCACUUUCCCAAACGGAGCUUAAGUUCAACCACAGUGCUAUUUCUUUUCCUGUUCUAUAUCAAGUAGUUUUUAUUUAUGAACAAACAAUAUUUUUUACACUAAAGAAGAGAGGGUGAACUUAGCCUCAUAAUGGGCUAGCAAUAAUGAUGUCCAAAUUUGCCUUUGGCGAUAAUCGAAUUUAAGAUAUCUCUUUUUCACAAUUAUUAUUUACUAAAAUGGUGAGGAAAUCCUUCCAUUAUACUGUCUAUAUUCAGUUAUAAUACUUUCAUUUGCAUACAAUUGAUUCCAACCCAAAUAGGAUAUUAGUUGACUUAGAAACGAUUCUAAUGAUUCUCCUGUUUUAUCUAAUUAUUGUCCUAUGAAUUGUAUUCUUCUGUUAAAUAAUGAUUAAUUAGAAUGUUUAGAAAAAAAAAAACUCAGGCAUUGCAAUGUUUGAAAUGAUAAUAUAAAUCCAAUUUGGCCAUUUGCUAGUCAGAGAACCUAAUUUGGGAAGUAAGUUUUAAAGUUUCAAUAGUUUCGUUGUGUGUAAUUUUUUGUGCUUUGCCUACCGGGAAUCUAAUAACCAAAGGUUUGCUUAUGUUUCUCAAAUGGUUUUUAACUAUAUGUUUUGUUUUUUUACUAUUUUCAGAUGAUAUAAAUGAUCAGUUCUAUAAUGUUGUUAAGAAUAAAGGAUCUAAUAUAUUUGAUUUGUUGUCUACAAAAAACCAAGUAACUUGAUAGCACAAAGUUACUAAGUCAGUUACCUGCUUUGCGAUGGCUUCUUUCUCCCUUCUUGAUUGCCAGGUGCGGAUCCAUGCAUUGUACUUACAUUUUUGCAAUUUAAUUAUCCUCUUUGAAAUUUCUGUCAAGAUAUUCAUUUUCCUGCAUUUUAAAGUUGAAAAGUGUAGUUUUUAGAGUGAACAUAAUGGAACAAUCGAAUCAACUUUCCUUUUCCAAAGACCAGCCCCAACUUUGUUGAUCAAUUUCGUUCUCAAUUUUAAUUAGUUAUCUACUUGAAUCCAUUUUUCUAAUCUUAAUUAGUUCAUGCAAUUAGCGAUCUUUCAUGUUUAAAUAUGCUAAAUACUUUAGAUUUGAAAUUUUGUGUGUUGAAUAUCAAGAUAGAACAUUUCUCUAAAACACCAUCUAUCCAUUUAUGCAUCUGUUUCCAACUUUCUAUUAUUCGUUUUAUUGUUCCUCCUUUUUUCUAAUAUGUAGUUGUUUUCAUUUAUCUGUUAUAAAUUGGAAAAAUUGAAGUUAAUGUGAACAAAUGACAAUUGGAUUUGUUAAAAGGAUAGAUUGCAUUGAAAUGUGGCUGUAAUGAUCAUCGAAUUCCCUCAUUUGGGUAAUAUUGAAUCGUAUCGAGUUCUGCAUGUGUUGGGCUUUCUGGCUAUCCUCUGUUUGGAUGCUCAGAAAGUUUGGUGGGAAUUGGAAAUUCAGUUUGGAAAUGAGAAUUUGGAGUUGUUUUCUAUGUCGGUUAUGGGAUUGACAAUUUUCGGCUUAGUUUUGGUUAAGAAAGAAUUAGACUGUUACUUAUUGAGUUAGGAGGAUUGCGGUGUUGAAAAUUAAGAAGGGUUAGUGCUAUUGUAAUUGCACUUGCAUUUGUUUUGAACCUAAUCAAUAUUUAGCCUUUUUCUGUACUGAGAUCCGAUGACUUGAGAGAAAAGGAUCCAUUUAUUAAAAUUAACAACGCAAUGGUGGUGGGAAUAAGCGUUCUCAGGUAACUAUGGAUGUGAUAUGAAUUAGGUGGAUGAUGUUGAAGCAUCAGUCAAUAAAAAACAAAUAGGAUCUUAGAUAUUUCACAUUAAUCCAUACAUUAGUGCUUGAAAGAUUAGCUGGUGAAACAAGACCAACAUUUUUUUUGCUUUUUUGUUUAGCUGUUAAAACACGUGAUUGGCCUGCAUGACAUAUAUUUUACCAUCUUAACUUGAAGGGCAAUAUAAGUGUUAAAUGCAUGUUGCUUCUGUAUCUUAGGAAACAGAGCAUUUUUUUGCAACUGUAUCUUUUGUAAUCAGCUCGGUUGAAUAUAUAUAAAAGCCAAAUUGCUCAUCUUACCGACACUUUUCACUCAUCUAUCCCUUUUGUUCGUUCAUGAUUAUGUUGAAUUUUUUUUCAGAUUAAAUGUCUUAUUCGUGUGGUUAAGGCUGGUGCAUUCAAGUCCUGCAGCAACGCGCGAGCAUUUUUGCUAGUAAAAACUAAAAUAGUUGCUCUACAAGUUUUCAGUUUUCAAAAAAGCAAAAACAAAACCUGGAAGGCUGAAAACGAAAUGGAAUAACUUGAGAAUUAAUUUACUGCAGCCGAAUGUAGUACUUAUUGCAUCACUUUGUGUAAACUAGCAUAUUUUUUUUCAGAUUGUAUACUUAGUAGCAGUAGGAUUCUGCAAUUGGCCUACACAUCAAUCAAACUUUAGUCACCAUGUACUUUGACCUGGUCCUGGGAACUUAUAUGUACAAGGAUGCUUUAUCGUGACCAGUAAUGUAGGGUCAUCUCCAACCGAUGGCUGGCCAGAUAGCUCGUUUGACACACCCCGUCCCGAAGGAGGGCAUGCUGGCCGUCACGUGAGAGUGACGUAACCAUUUGCACAGUACGGAAGCUUUAAGAUACAAUUUAUAAGUUGAUACACCCGAAGGUGAGUCCUAAUUUUGUCCAAUCUGUCAGAACACCGUCGAAUUCCUCGUAGUCACCACACCUUUGUGAUUCCUGAACCUGGAGGGGCGCAAAACCAAAAUUGAGUGGGUCAGUAAAACAAUUCUUUUCCAAAUCCAAACAUUUCUCAAAACGUUGUAACCCCUCUCCGUAAAACCUGUAUACUUUCCCAGAAAUGUAAAAUAUAAAUAUACAUAUAUAUUCUCAAUACUUUAAUUCAUUAACUCAACAUUUUUUCUUUAUCAAUCAUGCCAUGCCAUGUCUAAUUCAACAGUUAAGUAUGGAUGCAUCAACAAUAAUCAUAUCAGGUGCAAGAAAGUAAUCAACCGGAGGCCCUCUAAUAGCCCUGUACGGUUGAACCUAGAGCUCAAAAUCUAUCACUAUCACUCUACCGGAGUCACCUCUGUGACCCGUCCGGCCUUCUGCACACAAGUUACGCUCUAGUGCUUUCUCAUCAAUCAUCUGUGCACAUAAUCUAAGGUCACCCACCAGUCGAAAUCUCACUAACACUCUUCGACUGGCCCGUCGCACCCACUCCGCGUGGACUGUACGACCAGCAUCUACUUGGAUCCAAGGCGAGCGUGCGAUGCGGUGAAUACUAUAAGCACUAAACCAUGGUGCAGGAUUUGAGCUCAAUAUAUAUCAACAUCAUCAUAACAGUAAUUAAAUACUCACCUGAUACUCACCUGUGCGUCCGCCGCACCAUUCAUUCAUAUGCAUCAUAUCUCAAUUCAUACUUUUCAUAUCAUUUCAUGCAUGGCAAUUCGAUUCACAUUUCUAUAUACUUUUCAUAUACUUUCAUGCAUGACAUUUCAACUAAUAUAUCUCAUAUACUUUUAUACAUUUUCAUUAAAAGCAUAAUUUCAUGCAUUUUCAAUUUCUAGGAAACGGCAAGUAUAUAUGUAUACGGAAAACAAAACUGCCCACUCACCUGGAGUUCGUCCAACAACUCCCUAGCACCACACAUCAAGGCGUCACGACGAUCGCCGCCUAGAAUAGUAAUCAAAUCCAACCUCAGAAUUCAUAUCGAUAGAAUAUAACUUAUAUAAAAUACGUCACUACGUAGAUCGAUCCGGAAGAUCUGCCACUCAGAUUUUAAAUCCAUAACUUCCAGAGGUCCACAAUAUAUCUCUAGGAUAACAUCCUAAAAUUUCAUUACCAUCCAACGGUCGGAUCUCCGUCAAUUUCCAAAACUAAGUGACGGUUAACAUUCUAUAUUAUGGACUUACAACUCCAAUUUCGGAAGAUCCGCAAAUCGGAUUCCCAAUCUGUAAGUUCCUAUAAUCCUCAAAUAUUACGUAUUACAACGUAUCAAAGUUUGGUGAUGAUCCAACGGUCGGAUCAUCAAUUCAUAUUUUCACUUAAAUGCAAAAACUAUAAAACGUUAUUUGAACACCUAACCAACAAUCCUUAAUAACUUUCUCAUACGGUGCUCAAAUUGGGUAUACGAAUAUACCACAGUGAUCUACUCGACGUCACGGACGUCGACAUAUUUUUCAAAUAAUUUUUUACUGUAGCACGCGCCCCCACGCGCCAAGGAAGGCACGGACCUACGCGCCCCCACGCGCACCUUCUUCUUCCUUGGGUCGCCGGACUGGUUUUUCCGGCGGCCGUUUUUCAAAUUGCCAUAACUUUGUCAUUUCUCAACGAAAUCAAGUGAUUCCAAAACGAAAGUUGUAGCCCUUGAAGAUACAAAGAGAAUGGUACCUUGCACAACACCUAGUUCGCCGUGGUUUGGCCGGAAACUGCCUCGAAAGCCUCGGAGGUCGCCGGAAACUGGGUAUUUUUCAAAUGAGUAUAACUUCUUCAAUACUCAACGAAAUUGAGUGAAACAAAAAGGAAAGUUGUAGUACUUGACGAGACGAAGAGAUGGAUACCUACCUCGACUCCUAACUCGCCGGGGAUUCGCCGGAAAAAUCCUCGAAAGCUCCGGCCAAACUUUGAACUUGUCGAUCUCCGUGUUCUUACGUCCAAAAACUUCCAACGAAGCACUCCGAGCUUCCUUGGGACCUCACUAAGCUCGCUGUGAUCUUGUUUUAGCCUAAAUCGUAACCAUUUAAAAGAUCAUGAACAGUGCUCUUCCACGGGGAGUUUAGAAUCUAGGUUUUCCGAAGUAAAACUUACCUGAAAUUGGUGUCUACGUGAUCGUUGAGGUUCCAGGAGUUCAAUGGUGGUCUUAACUCCGUCGUUGGUAUAGAAGUUUAGUGUGGUUUUGGAGCUUGUCCGUGUGAGUUCGAAGGAGAGGGAGAGAGAACUGAGAGUUGCGUGAGGGAGGAGAGAGAGAGGGACAAGGUACGGGAAUUGGGGAAGGUUUUGAGGGAUGUGGGGAUCCCACGUGUCCAACUCAAUCCAAAUUGUUAAAUUUUCACCCCUUAGUCCCGUUUAAGGGCAUUUUCGUCUUUUCACGUCCUCGGAAUUAAAAUUCCGGGACGGGCUGUGACAAUCUUCCCUCCUUAUAGAAUUUCGUCCCCGAAAUUCCAGCAACCAACUAAAUCAACCAUACUCCAACAAUAGCUUCGGGUAAAUCUGUCUCAUCCGAUUCUCUUUCUCCCACAUAAUUUUCUACUGAAUGAUUCAUUCACAAAGCUUUUACUACUUACUCUGUCUUAAUUCUCAGGACCUUCUUUUUCCAAUCCAAAGUCGUCAUUGGUUCCUUAUCAAGUCGAAUCCAAUUUAAUUCUCAAUAGUUGCACCAGAAUCUCUUGUGACGAAUCUGCCACCUAGUGACAACGUAUCGAACCCAAAAUACAUUAAGUACCUUAGCCAACUCUGAAGACAUCACCACUUGUAUGCAACUUUAUUGAUUCCUUUAGUGAUAAAAAAAUGGUCUGAUGUGUCUAAAUCUUAUUUUGUCUCCUUUCCAACCCGAAUUAUACUUUUCUAUGGUGAACACUUCGAAAAUAUAAAACCAUUUGUCUUAUACACUCGAUUAGUGGCAUAUCCCUCUGUUAAUCUCUUUUGCCAUUCCUGGUUACUUUCAAGUUAACUUAAUCACCUGAAUACUUUGAGGAGACUCAUCCAUAGUCUCAGGGCCUACAAAAACUCUUUCGUGAUCAAAUCUUUUUCUAUUCAGAAGCAUUUCAUUCACACGACACGCUUCAGGGACCCUAUGGCGUUAUUUCGGAAACUGCGCACCCAACAUACUUAAGAAACUCAGCAGUUCCGUAAUCCAAUUCUCUUUUCCAUAAAACAAAUAAGUACUGUUACUCAACACUGGAGUAAAUGUACUAACUUGGUACAUUGACCAAUUAUCACUUCAAAUUCGAUCAUAACCAUCCUAUGUACAAGGAAACUUGUACACAUAAUCCAAAGUAAUAUCUUUCCAUUUCCACUGCGAAACAGAAAAUAGUUAUCCCAAUCCAAAGGUUUAUCUUUUUCUGCCUCAAUCUGCUGACCAAAUAAAACUGUCGAAUGGUAUGAUAAAUCUUAUUACUUUUGGAAUAUUACAGAAGUUGAACAGUGAACUUCGUCCAAUUUUUGCUUGCUUCAAAUCCUCAGCAUUAGGCACAUACUUUUUGUUUUCUUGUAUCCACAUACCAUUUGAUUCACGAAUCAUGUACUCAUUCUUUUUCCCUUCUUUCUCUGCCUUGGUUAAUUCUUAAAUUUCCUCGUCAAACAUUUAAGUUUCGAGUACGACCUUACCAAACAGGCCUAACUUGAAAUUUAACAAAUAUAACUUCUUCUCGAUCUUCCAUUCUUAAUUUUUCUUCCGUUGGUUUUCAAUCCACAAGAUGAUACUCUUGGCAAACGUGCCAGACAUUAAUCUUACUGUAGUCUUCUCACCAAGUGCUUCAGCUAGAACAAACUUUACGAUCACCCUGAUCGUACAAUCAUGUUCAUUAAGCAAUACAAUUCACUUUCGCUGCCUCAUAUCAAAAUCCUUCCAAGUAAUGGAUAUUGAAGACUUUUUGGAUUCGUAAAAAAAAUCUUGCAUUCUUACUAAAAUAUAAUGUCUCCAUAACUUCACAGCAAGGAUGGUAAUCGUGACUUCCAAAUCACCAGUAGGGUAAUUCAUCUUAUGAGGUUCCAUUUGUCGUGAAACGUAUGCAAUCACCCUAACAUUUGCAUUAAUACAUAUCCAAGAACAUUUAAUGUAACAUCACCAUAUACCGAUAAUUAUCGCUAUCUUCUGGGAAUAUUAAAAUACGUGCAUGAGUGAGGAAAUACUUCAGUUGUUGAAUCCUUUGCUCACAAUUUCCUUCCCACUCAUACAUAACCUCUUUUCUCAACAGUCUCGUCAAUGACAAAGCAAUGACUGAAAAAUCUUUCACAACCAUCCAAGAUAGCCUGGUAAGUUAAGAAAUUCCAAAUCUCAAUUACGACUCGUGGUUGUUCCAAUUCCUCAAUUUCUACUAUCUUUUAAGAAUUCAUUUGAAUACCUUAAGCAGAUAUACAAAUCUCAGAAUGCCACCUGAUUCAUCUAACUUUAGCAUUUGCUACUUAGCAUACAACCAACGUUCUCUCAAUCUUUGCUUCACCAACUUAAUAUGUUUACAUGCUUUGCUCUGGCUCAGAAUAUGCCAGAAUAUCUUCAAUGAAAAUGAUAUCAAGGCAUUAUUGGAAUACUUCAUCCAUCAACUCAUAAAACAGCAUGAGUAUCCAUAUAGCAUCACCAAACUUCAUCAAGACUAUAACGAGUCCAGAAAAACAAUCUUAGGAACAACGUUACUCAUAAUCUUCAAUUGAUAAUAAACAGACCUCAAGUCAAUCUUUGAAAAUAUACAAGCACCUUUGAACUGAUCAAAGGAGCGUCAAUACACCACAAUGGAUAACGGUUCUCAUUCGUUACCCGAUUCCAUUAUCUAUAAUCAAUGAACAAUCUCUAAGUCCAUUUCCUUUCUCACCAACAAACUGGUGCUCCUCAACAGUGUUGUACUAUGUUGAAUAAAACUUUUAUCAACCAAUUCUCUCAACUGAAUUUCCAAUUCCCUUAACUCAUCAUGAACCAAUCUUUAACAUAAAUUUAUACCCGGCAACAAAUCAAUAAUGAACCUCAUAUCUCUGCCUGAAGACAAUCCAGGUAUACUUUCAGGGAAGACAUCAAGAAAAGUCUAACCCCUUUUUCAUUUUUCACACUUCUCCGAGCAACAUCCUUUAGUACCACAUGAACUAAGUAUUUUUUUUUGACAUCCUUUCGAAAACAAUCUCUUUGCUCUCACAGCAUAAAUAACGGCCUGACUCAAUCCACUUUGCAUACUUACAAAAAUAAUCUCUGGUCAUCCAGAUCGAUGGAAAGUACUGGUUUCCCGUAACAUUCCAUCUAGUCACAACUAUAAACAAUCACUCUAAUGGAAUAAAAUUAAUUGACCCAAUACAUACUUUAUCAUUACUGAACAUUCUAAAUAAGUACAACACUAACAUAAAAUAAUUUACCGGGUUGCUUGCUUAACGAAUCCACGAAUAAGUUAUUAAUAUUACGGUCUGCAGCCCGCAAUACUGAUAAAUCAUUGUUGUCUCGAUAAGUAAGAAACCACUCUCAAAGAUAUAACAUUACUAUUUUGUCACUCAAUGAAAAAUACUUACACUCGUCUCAACUACAUUUAUUUACUACUCUCAAGGUAAUAACAUACAUAAUAAGAAAUAUAUCAGCCGAAGUCAACUAGAAUGACCAAUACGACUGAUUCAACUCUUAUCUCAAUAAUACGUCGGCCGGAUCCACUCCGCGUGGUCGGUACGGCCGAGCCUAUAACUCACCAAUUUCUCAUGUGUCAAUCGAAUCCACUUCUCAUGGUCUGUACGGCUGAACAUAUAACUCAUCAAAUCUCUCCGUACUCACGGUCAAUCCGACCAAACUACUAAAUCCAUAACUCUGCUGAAUCAACACUAUGAUAUCAUGGAAAAUUGUUGAGUACAACUGAUUCUAGGGACGAUUCACAAUUCUGUGUCCCCUCUGUUCACAUAAACACAUUCAUUAAUUUCACAUUUCCCAAAGUGUUAAUUUUUGUACCUGCUGCACAAGGUACAUUUCCUUUACUCGAGACACCUUGUCUCAAAUAUCUGGGAUUACCAGUAUAUCCAUCACUUUUACUCUGACCAGCGACAAUAAAACCUCAGCUGGAAGAAUUAAUUCUAGCUUCACUUCUUUUUAAACUCUGAAUCCUUCGAUAUUCUUGAUAUGACGAAUCAUUAACUUUAUCGUCUUCUUUUGAUUCCCAUUCAUUUCUUAUUCUUCUUUAUUCUCAUUGAUCAUGUUCUCAGAGUCCUCAAGGCUCAACAACAUCUUGUAUACUCCUGGUAAGAAGUACAAUGGAUAGUGGUCACCCAAAAUACCACUUCCCUUUUUGCCACCCAGCUUAAAACAAUAUAACACCUCCACCAAAUUAACAACAAUAUCUGGAUGGAACGAGGCAAGUCUGAAAACUUUCUAUAAUAUUCAUUUAUCGUCAACUUCCUUAAUUCACAUUUGCAAACUCUUGCUUACUACCAUCGAUAAAUGCCGGAGGGAUAAACUUUUCCUUAAACAAUUUUAAAUCGGCUGUUCCUCCGAUGACAACAAAUCAUACUCCUGUUUCCACCAGGAUACAAAUUCAUACCCAAAACCAGGUAGUCGUCUCGACCCCCCUGUCAGAAGGAAGAUUCCUUUGACUUGCAUAAUCUGAAACAUCUUUUCCAAAUGGUUAAACCGUUACUUCGCUCCCUCAGGUUCAUCAUUUCAUAAGGUGAUUCAAAUUCGACUCAUAACCCGUCUUAAAAUGUCCAUUUUUAUAAUAUACUGAAUCACCAUAAUAAUAGUUUUCCCUAAACCGCUAUAUUAGGGAGACUAAAUUCCUCUAACUAAGUGGCUUGCUACGAGGCGGUGUAGUUCUGACAGAAUUCACUAGAACUUCUCAAGAUGUCCAAGAUUGCAACCAUGCUCUGAUACCAACUGACACACCCCGUCCCGAAGGAGGGCAUGCUGGCCGUCACGUGAGAGUGACGUAACCAUUUGCACAGUACGGAAGCUUUAAGAUACAAUUUAUAAGUUGAUACACCCGAAGGUGAGUCCUAAUUUUGUCCAAUCUGUCAGAACACCGUCGAAUUCCUCGUAGUCACCACACCUUUGUGAUUCCUGAACCUGGAGGGGCGCAAAACCAAAAUUGAGUGGGUCAGUAAAACAAUUCUUUUCCAAAUCCAAACAUUUCUCAAAACGUUGUAACCCCUCUCCGUAAAACCUGUAUACUUUCCCCAGAAAUGUAAAAUAUAAAUAUACAUAUAUAUUCUCAAUACUUUAAUUCAUUAACUCAACAUUUUUUCUUUAUCAAUCAUGCCAUGCCAUGUCUAAUUCAACAGUUAAGUAUGGAUGCAUCAACAAUAAUCAUAUCAGGUGCAAGAAAGUAAUCAACCGGAGGCCCUCUAAUAGCCCUGUACGGUUGAACCUAGAGCUCAAAAUCUAUCACUAUCACUCUACCGGAGUCACCUCUGUGACCCGUCCGGCCUUCUGCACACAAGUUACGCUCUAGUGCUUUCUCAUCAAUCAUCUGUGCACAUAAUCUAAGGUCACCCACCAGUCGAAAUCUCACUAACACUCUUCGACUGGCCCGUCGCAACCCACUCCGCGUGGACUGUACGACCAGCAUCUACUUGGAUCCAAGGCGAGCGUGCGAUGCGGUGAAUACUAUAAGCACUAAACCAUGGUGCAGGAUUUGAGCUCAAUAUAUAUCAACAUCAUCAUAACAGUAAUUAAAUACUCACCUGAUACUCACCUGUGCGUCCGCCGCACCAUUCAUUCAUAUGCAUCAUAUCUCAAUUCAUACUUUUCAUAUCAUUUCAUGCAUGGCAAUUCGAUUCACAUUUCUAUAUACUUUUCAUAUACUUUUCAUGCAUGACAUUUCAACUAAUAUAUCUCAUAUACUUUUAUACAUUUUCAUUAAAAAGCAUAAUUUCAUGCAUUUUCAAUUUCUAGGAAACGGCAAGUAUAUAUGUAUACGGAAAACAAAACUGCCCACUCACCUGGAGUUCGUCCAACAACUCCCUAGCACCACACAUCAAGGCGUCACGACGAUCGCCGCCUAGAAUAGUAAUCAAAUCCAACCUCAGAAUUCAUAUCGAUAGAAUAUAACUUAUAUAAAAUACGUCACUACGUAGAUCGAUCCGGAAGAUCUGCCACUCAGAUUUUAAAUCCAUAACUUCCAGAGGUCCACAAUAUAUCUCUAGGAUAACAUCCUAAAAUUUCAUUACCAUCCAACGGUCGGAUCUCCGUCAAUUUCCAAAACUAAGUGACGGUUAACAUUCUAUAUUAUGGACUUACAACUCCAAUUUCGGAAGAUCCGCAAAUCGGAUUCCCAAUCUGUAAGUUCCUAUAAUCCUCAAAUAUUACGUAUUACAACGUAUCAAAGUUUGGUGAUGAUCCAACGGUCGGAUCAUCAAUUCAUAUUUUCACUUAAAUGCAAAAACUAUAAAACGUUAUUUGAACACCUAACCAACAAUCCUUAAUAACUUUCUCAUACGGUGCUCAAUUGGGUAUACGAAUAUACCACAGUGAUCUACUCGACGUCACGGACGUCGACAUAUUUUUCAAAUAAUUUUUUACUGUAGCACGCGCCCCCACGCGCCAAGGAAGGCACGGACCUACGCGCCCCCACGCGCACCUUCUUCUUCCUUGGGUCGCCGGACUGGUUUUUCCGGCGGCCGUUUUUCAAAUUGCCAUAACUUUGUCAUUUCUCAACGAAAUCAAGUGAUUCCAAAACGAAAGUUGUAGCCCUUGAAGAUACAAAGAGAAUGGUACCUUGCACAACACCUAGUUCGCCGUGGUUUGGCCGGAAACUGCCUCGAAAGCCUCGGAGGUCGCCGGAAACUGGGUAUUUUUCAAAUGAGUAUAACUUCUUCAAUACUCAACGAAAUUGAGUGAAACAAAAAGGAAAGUUGUAGUACUUGACGAGACGAAGAGAUGGAUACCUACCUCGACUCCUAACUCGCCGGGGAUUCGCCGGAAAAAUCCUCGAAAGCUCCGGCCAAACUUUGAACUUGUCGAUCUCCGUGUUCUUACGUCCAAAAACUUCCAACGAAGCACUCCGAGCUUCCUUGGGACCUCACUAAGCUCGCUGUGAUCUUGUUUUAGCCUAAAUCGUAACCAUUUAAAAGAUCAUGAACAGUGCUCUUCCACGGGGAGUUUAGAAUCUAGGUUUUCCGAAGUAAAACUUACCUGAAAUUGGUGUCUACGUGAUCGUUGAGGUUCCAGGAGUUCAAUGGUGGUCUUAACUCCGUCGUUGGUAUAGAAGUUUAGGGUGGUUUUGGAGCUUGUCCGUGUGAGUUCGAAGGAGAGGGAGAGAGAACUGAGAGUUUCGUGAGGGAGGAGAGAGAGAGGGACAAGGUACGGGAAUUGGGGAAGGUUUUGAGGGAUGUGGGGAUCCCACGUGCCAACUCAAUCCAAAUUGUUAAAUUUUCACCCCUUAGUCCCGUUUAAGGGCAUUUUCGUCUUUUCACGUCCUCGGAAUUAAAAUUCCGGGACGGGCUGUGACAUCGUUUGGGCCCUCUGGUCCUUCAAGAUUCUCCAAGAUAUUAAUAUUUUAAUGAACAGUACAGAGUCAUAUUUGCCUCCGUCUCCAACUGGGGGUCAAAGGGCCAGAUGGCUCGUUUUAGCCUUGUCGCAAAACAUAAUUUAUUAUUUAAAAACUACAACUUAAAUUCAAGUUAACUAUUUAAAAAUAGAAGUUAUAGGGGAAAAAAAAGAAUUAAAAAAAUAUGAAACAAAUUUUGUGAAAUAGAAGUUAUAGGAAAAAAAAGAAUUUAAAAUAAAAUGAAACAAAUUUUGUGAAAUAGAAGUUAUAGGAAAAAAAUAGAAUUAAAAACAAAUAUGAAAAAUAGAAGUUAUAGGAAAAAUUUGUAAAUAAAAAAUAAUAAUAAAAUUGUGUAAAAAAAAAAAUCAAAUGCAAGCUAGCCGUUGUAUUCAAAUUUUUUGAAGUAAAUUUGUGUCGGUUAUAACCGACACAAAUAGUAAUACAAAUUACUAUUAUUGUCGGUUAUAAAUGACACUAAGGGCUGGUUUGGUAUUGCUGUGCUUUGAAAAAAAGCUGCUGUGAGAGUAAGCGGCUGUGCUGUGAGAAUAAGCGGCUGUGAAAUAAAUCAGCAGAGUGUUUGGUAAACUUUUUUGUAAAAGUGCUUUUGGAAAAAAAAAAAAAGCAGUCUGAUAGUGAGUCUUUUCAUUAAAGGAGCACUGUAGUUCUGUGUGCUUUGAAAAAAAGCCAGUUUUCUAAAGCUACAAUUUGCAGCUUCAGCUUUUUCCUUUGAUUUCAGCUUAUUCUCACAGCAGCUUCCAAAAUAAGCCAUUUUUUUUAAGUUUACCAAACACCAAAAACACUCUCAGCUUUUUUUCAUAGGAGCUUUUUUUAAAAUCACCUCAACCCCAAACUGGGGCUAAUUGUAAACAAUAAAGCCUAGCGGGACCAAUUAUGUCGGUUAUGAUUGGAAGCAGCCAGCCCUUUGUCCCUUUGGGAUUCUGCCUCUCAGAUUCCAGAGCCCUCUAGCCUGUCCCUUUGUUGUAUACGAUUUUAGGGCUAUUUUCGGCCAUCUGGACCAUUCGAUUGGAGAUGACUUAACAUCCCAUCCCUCCAUUUUAUUUAAAAAAUAGUUUUGGUUUUUAUUUGGUGAGCCCAAGGGGCCCACCCCCCUGAUUUUGUCCCCCCGAGCCCUCAUCUCUCUCUCUUUGUCUUCUUCUUCCCUUUCCCGUAUACCUCUCUCAUUCUUUCUCUCUCAGCACUGAGAUCUUCACCUAGCCCUCACCUUAGCUCCCUCAUAAAAUCAAGCCCAAAAUUUAUAUUUUUGGAAUCCCUAAGAUUGGAGGAACCCUGCAAUGUACUUGCAUGCAUCAUCGGGCCAUUGUGAAGUGAAUCACCAUUGAUGCCGUGAGCUUUGAAGCUCUCAAAUUCGAACCCAGGUGAGACUUGUGUUCCUUCUUCAAAUUCCUGGGUUAUGCAUGUUAUUUUAUGAUUUGUGAUAUUGGUUUUAUGGUAAAACUCGAGGGUUUUGACCUCAGCUCUUCUCUAUGCCAAGAACCCAGCUCCGACGACGAACUCCGGCGAGUUUGUUGCUGUGGAUGCAUAGGCCUCUUUGAAUUCGAACCCAGGUAAUUUAUUUACCUUGUUGUUUGUUGAACAGUGUCCUGUGUGUGGGUUGUGAGUGUGGUGUGGAGUGUAUGUGUGAGUGUGUGUGUGUACUGCAUUUAGUUGCAGGUUUGAAUGCUGGUAUCGACUGAGAUGCCGAGUGUUGAAUGAUGAUGAUCAUAUAUAGCAUGCAUGCAUCAGUAUGCGGUGUGUGUGUUUGUGUGUGCAUGUGCGUGAGUGUGUGUGCAUGUGUAUGUGCAUGUGUGUAUGCAUACCGUGCAAGUGUGUGAGUACGUGUGUGCGUGCAUGCUAUGCAGUACGUGUGUGUUGUGUACAUGGGUUGGGCUUAAAGCCCGGCCCUGUUUGUAAAGCCAUUGGCUAUGGGCUCUGUGUGUGUGUGUGGGUGUGCCGUGUGUGUGAGUAUGAGUUUAGGCUUAAGCCCAAACCACCCCUUUUGUUCUUAACCUAUCCAAACUCAAGACCCAUUUCCAUUUCCUGAAAUUAUAUCGUUUGGGUAGUUUGAUUAAUUGUACAUUCUUGUGUUUAGGUGAAAUUGCUAGUGAGGAUUUCCUUAAUCUUUUUCCACACAAUUUUGCUGCUACGGAGUAUCUGUGAGUGGACUAUCUUCAAAAAUUGCAUGUUUUAUUUAUAUAAUUGCAUAAUUUAAUAGCAUGCCUUACAUAAUUAUUGAUUUGAGGAAUACUUUACAGGAAGCAUGAUGAUUUAAUUAUGAUUGAUUAUAUAUAUAUAUUUUUGAACUAUUUUCAUUAUAUUGUAUUUUUCUUUAGAACCCCCAUUCUGUUAGACUAUCUUAUCGAUGACGAUAGGAUGCUAAGAAUGUGUUUCAAAUGAUUUUCGAACACCUCUUUGUCGUAUAGAGGAUCGAUGAAUUUAUGCUACGAAGUUGUAUUUUAGAGAUGAAUUAUGUUUUGUGCGUACCUAGUGAACACUAUGCCGUCUGGGGCGAGGAUCUGGUGUUGGCAUUGAGGCCGGGAGAAAUAAUCUCUAGCGAAAGGCUGAGGGACACGGAGACAAGCAUUGGGCCGGAAGGAGAUAUCUCUGGCUACGGGCACAGAGACUAAGGUGCAAGCAUUGGGCCGGGAGAUAUUAUUAUUCGGUGCACUCACUAGCAGCGCAACUUGUGUUAUGCUUCUUGAUAUGAUUUGCAGAUAGAUAUAUGAAUUGUUUUCAUGGCAUGCUAGAGGUUUUGAGAGACCUAUCACUUAUUAUUUAGUAGUUUUCAUCAUAUUAACUGUGGGGGUUAGUAUGUUCAUAACUGUUUUAUUAGUAUUGUAUAUAUUAACUUGGUCCACUCACCCUUGUUUUGCGCCCCCUUUCAGGAUUUAGAAUCAAGGCAUACGAUCACAACGUCAACGCUUUCUCAUUGGCAUAGUCGAGUAUUCUCGGUGUAGGACCCACAUCCUUUUAUUUAUUUCAAUUUUAUAUUAAUUCUUUUAGAGCUCUAGUUAGUUGUAUGUUCUGAACACGUUCCUAAAUUAUUAACUCAUUGUAUUUUUAAAUUCAUAACCCUUAUUUAUUUCUUAUUCUUAGCUUUUGUAUCAAUUAAUGGCUUUCGUCACCCUCGAGUGUCAGCCAACACGUGUCUAUCCUGGUAUUCGGGGAAUAUCAGGGUCGGGACGUGUCAGAUUGGUAUCAGAGCAUGGUUUGUUCAGAGCAUACUUAGGAUCUCUUCUAUUCUCGUAAAGUGUCGGUUCUGACAUCAUUUGGAUGUCAGGACUUCUAGAUUUGGUGCCAUUUGGCGCAGUUGUGCAAACCUUUCUCUGUUUGAAUUGUCACCUUCUUGUUGAAAUACGAGAAUCGUGUUGAGAUUGUGCCUCAUAGGAAACGAAUUGGUUUGUUGGACGAUUUUCGACAUCGAAUUAAUACUCUACAAUAUGCAUCCCUAGGAAUUGCGGGCGGAGUCGGCUCUACAUCAAAAUCUUGGGAAAUGGAAAAAACCUAAGUGGUUUGAAUUUGGAAGAUCUGAAGAAAUGAUAUCACUCUGCGACAUGUGUUCUUUAGGAAUGGUGGGCAAAGUCAUCUUUUGGAAAUUGUUCGAAACAUUCAAAGUGCGUACUAAAUAAACGAGUAAGUGCUAAUGGUGAUGACUGUUAGUAGGUGGUAGUUGGUGGGAGCAAAUCAAUGUUCUCGGACUCGUUUCCACUGAGGAUAUUUGUGUAAAUCUUUAGAAUGAAUCUUCGAUGAUUGUUCUAUCGAUAACCUUUUUGCUUAUUCCAACGACGAAGUUAAGUUUCCUAAUCAUUGAUCGUCAGCUUCACAUCAAAUUCUUCGAGUGUGGACUUCAUUUACAUUAAUUGCUUUUCUUGGGAACUCCUUGGUAGCAGACUAUUCUCAUCAAUUUCCAAAAGGGAGUUGCAUUUCUUGUUGUUGUUGCAGUUGGAUUUGGAUGAUGAAUAUCCAGUCUUGUUUGGAUAAACAGAUUCCUUGAAUUUCACCUAGGUCUGGUACUCGGGGGAAAACUCUAGUUCCUCGUCCGCGUACUUUUCGGUGAAGGUGAACUUAGCCUCUUGCUUGUAGCUCAAUUAACUUGUCCACUAACUUUUCAGCCUUGUAACUUUCAGUGUGAUGGUUUGAGACUCUACCACAUUCAUUGUUGUACGAAGAUCGAGCUUUACUCUGAACUUCUCUGGACUUAUUGAGCUUUGGGUUGCUCAAGAGCAUCACUUUAAGGUAGCCAAUCGUGCCACUGUAUACGCAGCCUGCUUUGUAUCUUUCUUCUUCGUCAUGUUGCUGAUUCAGAGGUUCUAUGUUUAAUUUUUGAACUUUGAAACAGCUUUCACAAAGUAUUGUGAAUUUCGAAAUGUCUUUGGCCUUGUCAAAUCUUAUUGACAGUUCUUAACUAUUCUUGAGUUUAGACCUAUUUCCUUUUUGGCUAAGAAACCAGUUGACCAUACUGUGAUGAUUUGCAAAAUAAUCAUAAACAGUGACUUCUAUUUCUGCAUUUUCACCUUUCUUCGCUUAUUCGUCUCUUAAUGUGAAACUGGAUCAUUCAUUCGGCAUGGUUUCUAGUUCAAAUCUCGAUAUCUUGUACUCUGGAUUGUAAUGGACUUGUUUUGACCCUUAAAAUCUUAAGUGUUCCUUCAGCGUUCUCGACAUGGUUUCUUGCUCAAUCAGUGAGGAAUUCAGGAUUGAUCGAUUUGGCAGAAGUGUAUGCCCAAUUCUUAACAAUUCAGACAAGAACGUUAGGAGCAUAACCUUUUCACAAGUUUAUCAGGCUUACCAGAAAGAGUUCCACAUCAGUGUGAGGUUUGAGUCGUCUUUUGGUAAGGGAUUAGUGAAGAUUGUAGUGCAGGUGAUCUGCAGAUUGGAUCACCAUCUUUAUGCUGAAUUGGAUGGUCACCACUCAUUAUCCUGCUGCAGUUUAGAGACAACUUAUCGUAUGCUAGUAGUUCUUUUCUAACGUUAUGGGUUCGUCUCAAUGCAUAUGUUCACUGCUUCACUCCAAGACUCUUUGUUUGUGAGUAUGUGGAUGUCGAAACACUUCUAGCAGUUAUGCUUGGUGCGGGAUAGAGUUUUACGACAACAGUUUCUGUUUUGUUCAUUUUGGAGUAUGGCACUUUUUGUGACAUGGUACGAGAGUUUUUCAUGGGCGACUUUUGCUGGCAAAGGAGUCUUGCAAACUAAUAUUCAAAGGAUCAAAUUUACGACAUGUGAGAUUGUGUAUCUUCAGGAAAUCACUAUUUGCUUAACGAGACAACAAAUGGGUGGUCGAUAUCGCGGGCGGCCGACUGUGAUAUCGAUAACUUAUUUGUUGGGUUCGCUAAGCAAGUGGGCAAGAAGACUCGUUUACUGCAGCUAUCACAGAUUCGUUAUUCUUGGGGCUUGACCCAAAGACACAUCUAUUCUCAGAGUACGCGACGUUUCGAAUUUAUGUACGAAUUGCUGGUUAGGUAUAACAAGAAAAUCGUCUUCACAGUUAUUAGAAUGUAUGGAAAUAGAUACCCGUGCGUAUAGGAUGUUCGUACAUAAAUGUAUCUAAUCUUGGCUGUAUUUUUCAUAAAACUUCCUUUUCAUGAUUAGGGACUACGAUCCUUGGUGCUAUAAAAUCAGCAGUCAACUCAAGCACAGAAGUUAUAUACAGUGAGAAUCCUGAUCGUAAUUUUGUAAAGUCCAAUAACUUUGCAUAUGCCAUUGUUGUGGUUGGCGAGCAUCCUUAUGCUGAGACCGCGGGAGACAGCCCAAACCUAAUGAUGGCGGAACCUGGCCCAAGUGUCUUCAGCAAUGUGUGUGAAAGUGUCAAGUGCAUUGUUAUCUUAAUAACUGGCAAACCUAUUGUAAUCGAACCAUAUAUUUCCUCGAUUGAUGCUCUGGUGGCAGCAUGGUUGCCAGGCUCUGAAGGCCAAGGCAUUACUGAUGUCCUUUUUGGGGAUCAUGGAUUCAGUGGAAAGCUUCCAAGAACAUGGUUCAGAACUGUCGAUC